This 53885-nucleotide long non-coding RNA is filed under the name Brassica napus (rape). Its description in RNAcentral is "long non-coding RNA (BNAP_LNC006378)". The stretch from base 34467 to 34548 matches the Rfam family "tRNA". The record is from RNAcentral. Lineage: Eukaryota; Viridiplantae; Streptophyta; Magnoliopsida; Brassicales; Brassicaceae.
AUCCAUUAAUCAAACAAUUGAGGGUAAAUAUUUGAAAAAUAUAAUUUACAAAAAGAUCUCUGAUUAAAAUGAAUAAAUGGAGUCCAUUUAUAAUUAAUUACAUAUGAAGAUCUGAUGGUGGGAAGAAACAGAAGCACAAAACAAAGAAGAAGAAAAUUCAGUUGCUUUCUCUCUCAUCUAUCUUCUUCUCUCUCGACACAAAAGAGAAAAAAAAAAAAACCAGAUCUCUGUGGCUCCGGCUUUUUGGCGGCGCGUGAGCGUCCGUUCGAAGUCGGGAGCCCUCCUCUUCUCCUUAAUCCUCUCCUUUUUCUCUUUGCUUCUCUCUUGUGACCUUCACUUGCUCUGCUUUGCUUGCUGCUCUGUUCCAAGGGUUUCGCUUAAGACGUCUUCGCACGUGAGGAGCUCCGUCUCCGGUGUAGAUUGCGAGGGUUGGAGCAACGGCGCGGGGUCUGUGUAUUCUCAGGCUGAGGAGUCGGCUUUUAGGGCUGUGCAAGGGGCUCCUUUAACCCCUUGGAGGGCCAGUAGCGCGUGGAGACGGGUUGGAGUCUCGCCGUCGGUUUCUUCUGCAGUCUUCGGUCUGUCUUGGUCUCGACGAGCGAUGGUUGUGUGGUGUCGGUUCUCUGUCUUUUCCUGGGCGUCUAGGUCAAGCGGGAUCUAUAGUACUUGCGAUUUGAGAGCUUCGGAGGUCCGUUUACUCGAAGGUGUUUGUAGCUCGUGUUGUCGGCGUGUGUCGAAGCACGCGGUGGUCUUGCGUGAAGUGCUGCUCCGGAGCGGUGUUGGAGGCGUCGUCCAUGGCAUCUCCAAGGCGAUGUUGCGGCCUUCCUCUCAGUCUUCCUCCCUCUUCCCGUCUAUUCGGUGUCGACAAGCGGAGCGUGUCGACUUGCUCCUGCUUGGUCUCACUCCUGUUUGUGUUUGUUCAAGCUUCAUCCUUGCCACAGGUUGCUGCUUUAGGCGUCAAGAACUUACCUCUACCCGGUUCUCGGAGGAGGCGACCUUCGAGGGUCUCGAGCGUCUCUGUUUGUCAGCGGAGUCUCCUCAUCCUUCGGUGGCUUGGUCGGUGGAGGCGGCACUUCCCAGCGCCGUGAGUUUGUUGAGCUCAUGGUGGUGUUGCUUCUCUACUGUUUUUGCAGGUCUUGGAGUGUCUUCGGCUUCGUUUAGUUGCGACUGGACCAAGUCCGUCUUUUGGCGUCAUAGAAGUCUUGCACAUCGAGUUAGGAGCGUUUUUCACUUGGUGUAGCUUCUAAUUCCUACUUCUAUUUUCGUCUACGCGCUCAUUGGUGAAAGUUAUGAGCCCAAAGAGAUCCCCGAGAGCUAGCUACUUCGGGAAUGACAUGGAAGUUCCCGGCAUCCGAGGUAACGAGGAGAACCUCACGGUUCCAUGGUCAUCAUUUUCGGUGAGAACAUCAAUCGGGUCCUAAGAAUUUUAAAAUCAUGCUACCGGAACGUGCCGGGUUUAGUGGGUGGGCGAACGUAGUUUGUAAUACAUUGACUUAGGAGCUUUUGUUUAAUUUGGGCUUGUAACUGGAUCUAAAAUUCCCGUUUUCGGGUUGAAUUAAAUAUAUCUAUUAAAAAAAAAAAAAAAAAAAAGAUCUGAUGGUAAAGAAAAGAAAGAGAAAAACGAUGGGGAUUAUCCAACAACACUGUUCCCUGAAAGUUUGGUUUCGACGCAGAAGAAAGGUUGUGUGAGGCAACGUCACCACCUGACCAGUGACCACCAUGUUUCCUAAUUUUCUGAACCAUAUACCUUUCCAAGAAAAUAGUUAUUAUCAAAAUAUUUUGAUAGUUCCAGUAGAAAUAACAUACAAAUAAUAAUCUAUUUUUGAUAAAACCAUUCUACUCAUAUAUUUAUUUAUGUGAUAAUGCUGACCUAUGAAAGUGAAAUUAGAAUUUAACUCUAUUUAUUUGAAGUAAUGUAAUAUACUCAACAUUAUUAAAAAUAUUAUAAUGGAACCUUUUCUGUCGAGCCUUUAUAAUUAUUUAAUAAAAUGAAAGGAAUAUAAUCAAGAUUUACAUAAAUAUUUCAUGAUAUUCGAAAAGGCAGAGAGACACGGUGACACCCCUUGUUCUCCAAGAAAAUUAACAACUUCACCAAUCACGCCUUCUAGACGCAAGUCAAAGUAAUAUUUAAAAUCUUAAAUUCUAUUUGAACGCGUUUUAUUAACAUUAUUUUUUCAUCAGAUAAAUCACAGUUGGCUCAUAAUUCAUUCUAUUAUUCCCAGAUUUUGUAUUGAUUCUUUUCUUUAAUUGCAUAACUCUCACAAGUUUUUUUUAAACUUACCUUUUUUAUUUGUAAUUGCAUACGUAUUGUUGAUAAUAACGUAUCUACUAAUGAGACUAAUUUAAUGUUAGAAAAUAGUUUUAAAUUAAAGUUAAUUAGAUUAUAGCUGAAAGAGAGAGAGAAGACGUAGAAGAACAAGCAGACCCUAAAGUACCUGCACUAGUUCAGAUUUGCAGUCCUUUUAAUUAAAAAAAACAAACUACUGAAAUUCAGACAUAAAAAUCAAAUCUGUCUUUCUCUAGUUUCUGAAUAUCCUGAGAAAACACAAGAGAAGAAAAAGACAGCUACAUAGACACGAAAGAAAGAAGAGAGAGAGGGAGAGAGAAAAGCUGCAUUUUUUUUAUGAGCUCUUAGCUUAUUGAUCUACCAUUGCCGACAAACUCUAGCAGAAGAAUCAAGCUUUAUCCACUGAGAUGGGUUUAUGUUAGUUUUUGUUCAUGUUAUCAACAGAUUCCUGGUUUGUCUCCUGAUUCUCUACUUCUCCUACAAAUCUCCUGUCUGAAAAUUUUCUGUCUUUUUGGGUUUUCUAUUGUGCUUGACUUGUGUCAUUGGGAUCUUUGUCCAAGCGCUGUCAAUUGCUUUUGCGUGUUCUUCAUCACCUCCUGCUUUUUUAUCUUUGUUUAUCUGAAUUUUAAGAUUCAAUUUUGGGAUUUCAAAAUAGUCUUAUCUUCUCUUGUAUUAAAAAGACAAAUGUGAUUGAAACUAUUGGUGUUUGGUAUGUUUUUUUUCUACUCUCCCUUCGAUUUGUAAAUUUUUAAAACUUUAUCGAUUCAAGGAACACUUCAAAAGAGAUUGUUUUUCAUCUGGAUUCGAGUUUGUUGACCAAUUUUUGAGUUUAUUUGUAUCGAAGUAAAAAUUUCAUAAUGUUUUUUUAUUAAAAUAUAUGUGACAGCUUCCGACAUUCUAGCUACUUCUGUUUAUAGGUGCUUGUGUCGUUUCAGUCUAUUUCUCUGUCUUUUUCCAAUUCUCUAGUUUGAUCUCGGAGACUAUGUUUCUUUCACAAACUGUUUAUAAUGGGUUUGGUUCAUCUAUCUUGUUACAGGUUUGAUCCAAAAGAUGAAACAUUAAGGAAGAUCAUCAACUUGGCUUCUUGAGUUAAAAAAAAGACACAAGAUUUGAGAAAUGGCUCGAGGUAGGAUAAGAUCAAAGCUACGACUAAGCAAUCUCUAUACAUUCGGAUGCCUUAGACCGAGCACACUCGAAGGCGAGGACCCUCCACACCCACUCCAAGGCCCAGGGUUCACCCGGACAGUGUUCUGUAACCAGCCUCACAUGCACAAGAAGAAGCCUCUUAGAUACCGUUCCAACUACGUCUCCACCACCAGAUACAACCUCAUAACGUUCUUCCCUAAAUCCUUAUACGAACAGUUCCACCGCGCGGCGAACCUCUACUUCCUGGUAGCCGCCAUCCUCUCCGUCUUCCCUCUCUCCCCCUUCAACAAAUGGAGCAUGAUCGCUCCUUUAGUCUUCGUCGUGGGGCUCAGCAUGAUGAAAGAGGCUCUGGAGGAUUGGCGCAGGUUCAUCCAAGACGUGAAGAUCAACGCGAGGAAGACGUGUGUUCAUAAAACUGAUGGUGGAUUUCGUUCUAGAAAGUGGAAGAAGGUUAGAGUUGGAGACGUUGUGAAGGUGGAGAAGGACGAGUUCUUCCCUGCUGAUUUGCUUCUUCUGUCGUCUAGCUACGAGGAUGGGAUUUGUUAUGUUGAGACUAUGAACUUAGAUGGUGAAACGAACUUGAAAGUGAAGAGGUCUUUGGAAGUGACACUACCACUAGAUGAUGAUGAGUCUUUUAAAAACUUCAUGGGGACUAUAAGAUGUGAAGAUCCAAACCCAAGUCUCUACACCUUCGUUGGGAAUCUUGAGUAUCAGCGUCAAACAUUUCCUUUGGAUCCAAGUCAGGUUCUGUUAAGAGACUCAAAGCUUAGGAACACAGCUUACGUCUACGGAGUGGUGGUCUUCACAGGUCACGACACUAAAGUUAUGCAAAACUCAACGAAGUCACCUUCAAAGAGAAGCAGAAUCGAAAGGACAAUGGACUACAUCAUCUACACGCUUCUAGUCCUACUCAUCUUGAUCUCUUGCAUCAGCUCAUCAGGCUUCGCUUGGGAGACAGAGUUCCACAUGCCGAAGAUGUGGUACUUGCGACCUGACGCCCCCGAGGAUCUAACCAACCCUAUAAGUCCAGUCUACGCUGGUGUGGUCCAUCUCAUCACCGCUCUGUUGCUUUACGGAUACUUGAUUCCAAUCUCUCUUUAUGUCUCUAUAGAAGUUGUCAAAGUCUGGCAAGCAAGUUUUAUUAAUCAAGACUUGCGCAUGUACGAUGAUGAGGGUGGCGUCCCCGCGCAAGCGCGGACUUCGAAUCUAAACGAAGAGCUUGGUCAGGUGCAUACUAUACUCUCUGAUAAGACGGGGACGUUGACGUGUAACCAGAUGGAUUUCUUGAAAUGCUCCAUCGCUGGUGCUUCUUAUGGUGUUCGUUCAAGCGAAGUGGAGCUAGCUGCUGCUAAGCAGAUGGCUGUUGAUCGUGAAGAACAUGGAGAGAUGGUAACAAGUACUAGAGUGUAUGGUACGUGUGACAGUAGCGGCACGCGUGAGAUAGAGGUGGAAAGUGGAGGGGAUAAUGAUGACAAUCCUAGAGUUCCUAUAAAGGGGUUUGGUUUUGAGGAUAACAGGCUCAUGAAUGGGAACUGGUUAAGGGAGUCGCAGCCAAAUGAUAUCUUGCAGUUCUUUCGGAUAUUAGCUAUUUGUCACACGGCGAUUCCUGAGCUGGACGAGGAGAGUGGUAAGUACACUUAUGAAGCAGAGUCGCCUGAUGAGGCUUCUUUUCUUGCUGCUGCUAGAGAGUUUGGUUUUGAGUUUUGUAAAAGGACUCAGUCAAGCGUGUUUGUUCGUGAGAGGUUCUCUUCUUCAGGGCAAAUCAUCAAAAGGUGAGUGUUGUAGAGAUGCUUCAUCUUUGACUCUUUUGAUUAUCAUUAUAGCUCUACUAAGUACCAGACACAAUGCAGGGAGUAUAAAGUUCUGAAUCUGUUGGAAUUCACAAGCAAAAGAAAGAGAAUGUCAGUGAUUGUAAGGGAUGAGGAAGGGCAGAUUCUUCUACUAUGCAAAGGAGCCGACAGGUUAGCAAACAUCAAGAAGGUUAUAUUAACAUUCUGUUCUUGUCUCUUCACUGUUAUCAAGUUUUUGUCUCCUGUUUUUUUUUGCAGCAUUAUCUUUGAUAGAUUGGCAAAGAAUGGGAAGACAUACUUGGGAUCAACCACUAGACAUUUAACUGAGUAUGGAGAAGCUGGGCUACGUACACUCGCACUUGCUUACAGAAAGCUUGAUGAGGAGGAAUACACAGCUUGGAACUCUGAGUUUCUUAAAGCCAAAACUUCAAUAGGAUCUGAUAGAGAUGAGAUGCUUGAGAAGGGAUCGGAUAUGAUUGAAAAAGAGCUUAUACUUGUAGGUGCUACUGCUGUGGAGGAUAAACUCCAGAAAGGGGUAUGUAUUAUCAAACAGAAACACUUAAACAUAUUAUUAUCUUGCUUAUGUGAAUUAAUAUUUUUUUUUUUGAGUUAGGUUCCUCAAUGCAUAGAUAAACUUGCUCAAGCUGGUCUCAAGCUAUGGGUUCUAACUGGGGACAAGAUGGAAACAGCAAUCAACAUUGGGUUAGAAAACUAGAAAUGAGAUCUGUUAUAUGUUUUUAUCUAUUGAGUUCUAUAAACAAAUGAAACCUUUAUGAACUGCAGAUUUGCGUGUAGUUUACUUAGGCAAGGCAUGAGACAGAUCUGCAUAACAUCAAUAAAUUCAGGUGGAGGAUCUCAAGAUUCUAAAAGGGUAUGUACUGAUGAUGCCAACUGCUAAAACAUUCAAUGAUAACCUUUGAAGCUAACUUUGUAUCUAAUGAUUGUGUGGCAGGCUGUCAAAGAGAACAUUUUGAACCAACUCACUAAAGCUGUACAAAUGGUGAAGCUAGAGACGGAUCCGCAUGCUGCGUUUGCUUUGAUCAUUGACGGGAAAACACUAACUUACGCAUUGGAGGAUGACAUGAAGUAUCAGUUCUUGGCUUUGGCAGUUGACUGUGCAUCAGUCAUCUGCUGUCGCGUGUCUCCCAAGCAAAAGGCUUUGGUAACAAGGCUGGUUAAAGAAGGAACCGGAAGAACCACAUUAGCAAUAGGCGAUGGAGCAAACGAUGUUGGGAUGAUUCAAGAAGCUGACAUUGGUGUAGGGAUUAGUGGAGUUGAAGGCAUGCAGGCUGUUAUGGCUAGUGACUUUUCCAUUGCGCAGUUUCGGUUCUUGGAACGAUUACUCGUCGUCCAUGGACACUGGUGCUACAAAAGAAUAGCUCAAAUGGUAUUAACUAGUUCUUGUGUGCCAUCAUGAUUACUUUUUACCUUGUAGUUUGUUACUAACGUUAAGCUGUUUUAACAUCCAGAUAUGCUAUUUCUUCUACAAGAACAUAGCAUUUGGUCUCACUCUCUUCUACUUUGAAGCCUUCACUGGAUUCUCCGGACAAUCGGUGUACAACGACUAUUACCUACUGCUCUUCAAUGUUGUCCUUACCUCAUUGCCAGUGAUUGCCCUUGGAGUCUUUGAACAGGAUGUUUCCUCCGAGAUCUGCUUACAAGUAAGCUUUAAUAAUCAUGAAGUAAAGUGAUGUACCGGAAGCUUGUAGAGAUAGAACUUUGAUUCAAAGAAUAUCCGGAAACCAAAGUUUGAAAAACUUUUCUUGGUGGAAAGUCUAUAUAUAAGAAAACUAUAAAACACACAAAAACAAUUAAAAGUAAUUAUCCUAAUAAUAAAUAAAAUAUUAAAUAGUUAGAAUAUUUAUAAUAUUCCUAAAUAUAUCAUUAAGCUAUUUUGAAUCUCUGCUGAUGACCUUCUCUUGUUUGUGCUUUGUGUAGUUUCCUGCUUUAUACCAACAAGGCACAAAGAACCUCUUCUUUGAUUGGUCAAGAAUCCUUGGAUGGAUGUGCAACGGCGUCUACUCAUCGCUAGUCAUAUUCUUCCUCAACAUAGGAAUCAUCUACUCUCAAGCCUUCAGAGAAGGCGGCCAAACAGCUGACAUGGACGCUGUCGGCACAACAAUGUUCACUUGCAUUAUAUGGGCAGUCAAUGUCCAAAUCGCGUUAACCAUGUCCCAUUUCACUUGGAUCCAACACGUUUUUAUAUGGGGAAGCAUCGGUUUGUGGUACCUCUUCCUAGCUCUCUUCGGGAUGAUGCGCCCAAGCCUCUCCGGAAACAUUUACAGUAUCCUCGAUGAGAUUCUUGGUCCUGCUCCUAUCUACUGGAUGGCUACGUUGCUGGUCACGGUGGCUGCGGUUCUUCCUUACGUGACUCACAUUGCUUUCCAGAGGUUCUUGAAUCCGUUGGAUCAUCAUAUCAUACAAGAGAUUAAAUACUACAAAAGAGAUGUUGAGGACGCGAGGAUGUGGACCAGAGAGGGUAGUAAAGCGAGAGAGAAGACCAAGAUUGGGUUCACAGCUAGAGUUGACGCAAAGAUCAGGCAUCUAAGGUCGAAACUGAACAAGAAACAGUCGAAUCUCUCGCAUUUUUCAGCUCAAGAUGCAAUGUCACCUAGAUCAUUGUAGCACGUAUAGGUUUGUUUUUUCUUACAGGUCCCCAAUUCUCUGAUGCCUUGAGAGUUUUGGAGAGGUCUUAGAGUGAGAUCAGUCUGUAAAGAGUAGUAGCUGAUGUUUUUUUUUCUAUUAUUUUGUUGGCUUCUCAUUUUUUUUAUUAACAUGCUUUGUUUCUUUUGUAUACUAUAUACUUAGGAUUUGUUUAUACUUAGGAGUUAGGACAGAAUGCAAAAACUUUAACAAAGCAUCUUACUUUGUGCCUCUUCUGCUCCUAUCUCUAAUCAUUUAAUUGGUGCAUAUUAUGAAUUCUAUGUACAAUAUUAAUAUAUAAUGGUUGCUUAACAGUAAUUGAUAUCUCUUGUACUCAUUCUAGAUUUAGAUCUGGACAUUUGAAUAUCUGUUUGAGUUUGUGUUGAGUUCAUAGAUCUCAUUCAAAUUUUAUGUGUUUGAAUCGGGUUCGGUUAACAAUAUUUCUUCGAAUAGAUCUUGUAAUAUUUCUUCGAAUAGAUCUUGUAAUUUUUCUCUAAGAUCCAUCUAAUAUCGGAAUUCAUUUAAAGUUCAAUUAAUAAUAUUUUGAAUUAUUUUACAAAUGUGAUACAUGAAAUUAGUUACCUAUGCUCAAAUAUUAUUUCGAAUACUAAUUUGGAUACUGAAGUUCCGUCUUUCCAUUUUCAGCGUUCGAGUUCAGAUUUGGUUCAAAUCAUUACCAAAACUUGAAAUACCGCUGUACAAAUCCAUGGUUUUUGGUUCGUUUCGGUUUGGUUCGUUCAUGUACAACUGCUUAUCAGCUUAUGCCUAACCCAUCCAUCAAUCAAUCUGGCUUAUUUUAGGGUAAAGAAUUGUUGGGUGUUUGAUACUGGUUAGAGAAGUGAGAGAGUGGUUGGUUGGCGAAUACAAUAAUUCACGUUACCAUGGGCCGAUAUAUACACACAAUAUGGGCCUGCCCCGGGCCCAAUAGAAAGUAUAUCAAACAACUCCACGAUAAUAGUAGGGGCGUUGAUUUGCUUUUAAAGUGCUUAACCAUCUGUGAGUCUAUCCCCUUCCCUUUUGGGAUAUUAUCAUUUCGCCGCGUGGAGAGAGAGAGAGAUGUCGCCGCUCUUUCGCCGGAAGUCAAUCGGAAUCCACCCCUACUCCUAACUUCAAUCCCUUUUGAUUUAAUCUUUUUUCUCCUGCUACUGUAACUAUCUCAUCGCACUCCUCAGCUACUCUGCUUCAAUCUGUAGUUAAUUGGGGAUUCUGUUAGGUUUUAGGGGUUUUAUCAGCUUUUUGAUUUAGAUGGAGCCGAGAGUCGGAAACAAGUUUCGGCUCGGGAGGAAGAUCGGUAGUGGAUCCUUCGGAGAGAUCUAUCUUGGUAUGCUCUAAAUCGCUUUUCUCGUUGAGCAGAGAUUACUGUUUAAAAAUGAUUUGAAUUGGAUAUGGCGUUUGUUUAGGUACGAAUAUACAGACGAAUGAAGAAGUUGCCAUUAAACUUGUAAGUUUUCGUUUUUACAAAUUAAAAGCAUUUCCAAUGUCUAAUGAAGUAGGGAGAAGCUAGUUUUGGGAAUGUGAGAUCUAUUAUUACAUAAAGAAUUGAACUUUCUCUGAACGUGGAAUGAAAAGCUGUGAUUUUUGGUGGCAUAUGUGUGUGCAAAGGUCUUAUGUUAUUGCUUGGCCUUUCUUGGCUUGUAGCUUCUUCUUCUUUACCUGUUUAAGAGGUUGUUUACAAUCGAAAGACAUAGGUCUACACUGUGUUUAGACGGAAAUGGAUAUAAUAAUGUUUCAUAGGCUUAUACGCAGCUAUAAGGCAGUUACUGCUUUUUGUAUUCUGCAGUCUAGUAAUUUAGAUGAGUUUCUUCCUUUCCUUCAUUUUGAUUUUCAGCGCUUUGGUGGUGAUAAGUUUAUUUCUAGCUUUGAUUCUGGAUUCAACCUGACUUCUUCUUUUAUAAGAACUGAGAGUUAGUAUUAUUGAUUCUUGGGAAGAUAUUGUAAUUAAUGCUGAAUAGGCUCUUAGUGUGAACGACAACAUUACCUGCAACUGGGUGGGCCCUACUACAUGUUGAAAUUUUUGAGAUGUUUGUUGUGUUGUGUGGCCUAAAGAUGGAGAAUUAUAGGGCUGACAGCUACUCAUAUUAUUAUUCAACGUUGCUUGUCUGUUGUCAAUAUGCUUCUUUUUUCUUCUUUUUUUUCUGUUACCUGUUUGUUUGUACUGGUUCUGACUGUUAAUGAUGUUCAAUCAAUUUUGACGUUUGUUUUCAUAUUUCUUUUUUUGUGAUGAAAAUGUGACAGAUUUAUCUUAGUUUAAGUGUUGUUGUGUUUGCUGCAUAUGUUUUGACUGCAUCCGUUUUUCUUCUUUCAGGAAAAUGUGAAAACUAAGCAUCCUCAGUUGCUGUAUGAAUCAAAAUUGUAUAAAGUAUUACAAGGAGGAAGUAAGGAUCUAGUUUUGUAACUUGUUUACAUUUGCAGUUUGUGAUUUCUGCUUUCUUAUCCAGAGACGUUGCUUUCCUUUCCUUUAUUCUAGCCGGCGUUCCAAACGUUAAAUGGUAUGGCACUGAAGGGGACUAUAACGUCCUUGUGAUAGACUUGUUGGGGCCUAGCCUUGAAGAUCUAUUCAACUUCUGUAGUAGGAAACUCUCACUUAAGACUGUACUAAUGCUUGCAGAUCAAAUGGUAGGAUACCUUGUGUUGCCUGAAAACACUUUCCUAUUUUAAAUAGGGAUAUUGCCAAAAUAAUUAGGAUCUCUUUUUGGUUCCUCUUGUCAGAUCAAUCGCAUUGAAUUUGUUCAUCAGAAGUCAUUUCUACACCGGGACAUCAAGCCUGACAACUUUCUGAUGGGUCUAGGAAGGCGCGCAAAUCAGGUAGCGAUGAAUUGGGUUGUUUGUACGCUUUUUACUCUUCUUAACUAUCUGCUAAACGAAGUGUUGGCCGAAUACAGGUAUAUGUCAUCGACUUUGGUCUGGCAAAGAAGUAUCGAGACUCAAAUAAUCAGCAUAUUCCGUACAGGUUGGCCACAGCCUGUGAUUUUCCUUGUCGAGAAUGUGCUUUUGUUACUGGAUUACAAAAAUAAUGAUUUGAGCUAGCGCGAGAGUUUGCUUUAAUUUUCUACUAGACUGUGUUCUCUGACUUAAGGUUCUUCUGUGUUAUACAUCACUGUGAAAGGGUGGAAUCUUCGUAUAUGCUUACAAUAGGAACUGCAGUUUGGUUAUUUAAGUUUUUUCUGUCUGGAUGUACUUUACUGUUGCUGCUAUCUAGAAAAUGGGCCUAGUACUUUUCCUUGGUUUUGAGUAUUAUGGCUGCUUCAUUCUUGUUUCAGUGGGCAUGAAUGUUUAUAGACAAGACAAAAGAUUUGUAGGUUUCUUUCAUUUGAUAAUUGGUAUAAGGUCAUAGGUCCCACUGCCGUUUUAGUAUUUUGUAUAGCCUCAUUCUCGGAAUAUUUAGUAUAAUUUUUCAGUUUUUGUGAAGCUGCAUUAGUAUAUGAGAUAAUCAUUUGUUGCAAAGCUACGAAGUAGUAACACUUUCGAUGAUUGCAGUAUCUGAUGUAUCAGCUUAGCAACUACAAUCUUAAUUUUUGAGUAUCGCAGGGAAAAUAAAAACUUGACUGGAACGGCCAGAUAUGCCAGCAUGAACACUCACCUUGGCAUAGGUACACCAGCUCCUUUAGUUUCCAACUUUCUUAUUAUUUAAAAACGUAGUUCUGAAUAGAAAUGGUCGUUUAUAUCACAGAACAAAGUCGUAGAGAUGAUUUGGAGUCACUUGGAUUUGUUCUCAUGUACUUCUUAAAAGGAAGGUAAGAAGCGCUCCUACCUUCAACGUUGGCAUGUUUCCGUUGGUUGUUAAAGGACUGUCUUUAACUUACUUACCCAAUUAAAUGCAGUCUUCCUUGGCAAGGACUGAAAGCUGGCAAUAAGAAGCAAAAGUAUGAGAGAAUCAGUGAAAAGAAAGUAUCGACAUCUAUUGAGGUAUCAUUAUCACCCAUUACAUGUGUUGGUCAUACUUGUGGUCUAAUGCUUCUUUAAUAUUCUUUUCUUAUUUUAGUCUUUGUGCCGUGGAUAUCCAUCUGAAUUCGCUUCUUACUUUCAUUAUUGCCGUUCCCUGAGAUUCGACGACAAGCCAGACUAUGCCUACCUGAAACGUCUUUUCCGUGACCUGUUUAUUCGCGAAGGUCUGGUCCCAUCCAUCAUCACUUUUGUUAAUUCUAGUCUGAUGAAGUAAAUGUAACUUGAACCAAUCAAGAACAUGUUGAUUUAUAUAUGCGUUAUCCUCUGCUCACAUUUUAGGCUUCCAGUUUGAUUAUGUAUUUGAUUGGACGAUCCUGAAGUAUCAGCAAUCACAGAUUUCAACUCCGCCUCCCCGUCCUCACGUAAGAGUCAUGGCUUUUUCUUUUUCAUAUUUCAUCUUUCUACUUCAUUUGUGCUGAUGAACAUAGCUUUCUUUCAGGGCGCUGGAGUUGGUCCAAGCUCUGGCUUACCCCCUGCUAUCGCUAGUGCUGAGAGACCAUCAGGUUGUUCCACCUGUCUUGAUUUUUCAUUAGUUUCUUUCCAUGUAUGAUAAGGCAUUUCACUACAGGGACAUGGCUUCUAUCCAUUUGAUAUGUUCUUUGGUUCAAUUGCAGGUGGCGAGGAAGUUAGACCUUCUGGUUGGUUAUUAGGAAACCCUAGACGAAGUUCUGGACAUAUUUUUAACUCAGGAAGCUCAGCUAAACAAAAGGCACCAGUUUCAAGUGAUCCUGCAAUAUCUAAAGAUGUAGUGGUGAGUACAUAAAGUUUCUCCAGGUUUAGAGGUAUCCAUUUGAUUCGUUGUAUAAAUGGUAACUGAAUUGUUUUGCUUGUGACAGUUAUCAAGCUCUAGCUUUCUCCGCGCAACUGGAUCAUCAAGACGUGCUACUGUCUCCAGUAGUCGCGAGCCUGCAGUUCCUGGAACUGAUUCUGAGCCAUCAAAACCUCAAAACAUUGAAGCUGGAUCAAGCUCCAACCCAAAGAUCCAUGGUGGUCGAAGCUCACCUAUCGUCUCAUCUGAUAACAAUAAGCUAUCAUCUCCCUCAAGGGGAAAUACUUCAGUCAUGAAGAACUAUGAGUCCAACCUUAAAGGGAUCGAGAGUCUGCAUUUUUAGUCUCUGCUGGGGAUCACUGAACCAGUGAAUGAUCGUUGAACUCCUCCGGGACAGAGUGUAAAUUAAAAGACAAAAGAAAACCUUUGUUAGGCUCUCUCCCCAUGUAUUACGUGCAUUUGUGUUUACAGGGAGAGAGACUUUACUUGUGCUGCAUGUAAGCACUCUCAAAUAACAAAGAUAAAGAAAGACUCUGAAGAAGUGAUUCCAGAGAAACACAAACUCAAAGAGGAUGAGAUCAAGGAGACUAAAGACUUGAAACACUCUUAAGUCCUCAUUUGUUAUUUCUUAAUGUCUGUUUGUAUUUGUGUCGUUUGGUAUUGCAAAGUUAAAAUUAUUUUUUGUGUCUCAAAGAGAUUUGAAGUGUCGUCGCAAAAAAAGGCGCAAAAGAAAGAAGGGGUUUUUCUUAUAUUUUCGUCUUCUCGUGUGACAUCAUAUUGUGAGGGUAAAUGGUCAUUCUGUGGGUAAAUAGUGAAAGAUGUACGUAAGCAAUAAUUGUACUGUUUUCCCUUACAGAAUUUUCUUAUGUCUUGUCAAGUUCCAUCCUGAGAGGGCCUGAGAGUUGCAUGUUACAUUGUGAAUGCAAUUAAAAUCCUUAAAUCAUGGUAACUACCAAUUUAUCAUGGCCUACAUGAUUCAGCCUAAGUAUUUUAUCGUUACAAACAACCAUAACAUCCAGUUACGAACAUCAAUAUUUGGCUGAGAAACGAGGAGAAAGAGACAAUAGAAGAGAAGUUGAGAAGAAUUUGUAGUUGAAUCAUGAAAGAGGUAAGACCUGAUGAAAAGAAAAAGACAACACAGAGAUUUUAUUAAACAAUGAACGUACCACUUGGUUACCUUUGAAAGAUUGAAGAACAGAGAUGAAAAUAUAACUUUUAUUAUUUCUCAAUUCUUGCCGUUCUACAUUGUUCAUAAACAUGCUUAAAUAGACACAUAAACUUCUGUGAAAACCCUAGCUUCUGUAACACUUGUCAUCAUCCUUCUUCUCCUAGUGAUCCAAGGGCUGAGAAUGAGUUCUGUAACUCAGGACCACACGGUUCCGUACAUGAUGUCACAAUCUCCUUUCCUCUUCUCUUCUCUUCUCUUCUUAUGUUGAUGUCUUUGUCGUUGCUCAAUAUAACCGUUGGAGAGGAUUGAUGACUUGGCACAGUCAUAAUCGGAAUGGGCUUGGGCUUGAAGAUAGCUUCAUUCAGAGUCUUGGGCCUGUCCGUACUGAGGUUGCUAAUACCCCCUCUCAAACUAGGCGUGGGAGGCACGUCAACGCCAAGUUUGAAUCGGAGUCGACAGAAUGAAGCAGUUGGGAGUGAUUUGGUGAAGAUAUCAGCAAGUUGUAGCUGAGCCGGAAUGUGUUUGACGACCAAAGAUCCGAGAGCUACUCUCUCUCGAACAUAAUGAUAAUCAGUUUCAAAAUGUUUAGUCCGUUUGUGAAAGGCGGGAUUUGCCGUGAGAUAGAUCGAUGAGAGGUUAUCUCCAAACAAUUGAGGUGUAACCGGAAGUGAAAUACCCAACUCCCUGAGUAGAAUGCUCAGCCAAGCCACUUCCGAUGCUGUCUCAGACAAAGAUCUAUACUCUGCUUCCGUAGAGCUCUUGGACACCGUGGGUUGCUUCUUGGAAGACCAGGAAAUGAGGUUUUGUCCCAGAAACGUGCAGAACCCUCCAGUAGAUCUUCUUGUUGCUCGACAACCAGCCCAAUCACUGUCACUGUAGGCCCUAAGAGUGCAGUCAGAGUCUUGGACAAACGAAAUCCCCAUAGAGAUCGUACCUUUAACAUAGCGCAAGAUUCUCUUUAUAUUGUUGAAGUCAGCAACAGACGGAGCCUGCAUCUUUUGACACACAUAGUUAACCGCAAACUGUAUAUCAGGCCUGGUGAGGGUUAGAUACUGAAGUUUUCCUGCCAGCUUCCUGAAGAAUUGGGGGUUGUAGAAGAUUUUGUCUUGAUCUGGAGCAUUGUUGAGUUGAAGCGGCAGAGGAGUGUUGCUUGGAGAGCAGUUUUCCAUUCCAGCAACUCCUAACAGAUCUACUGCAUACUGCUCUUGAGACAGAAACAAUCCUUUAUCAUGGAAUGUUGCUUGAAUUCCGAGAAAAUAGUGUAGCUUCCCCAGAUCCUUCAUCCGGAAUUUUGAGUUUAAUUCCUCAAGGAGCUUGAUCAAUGUUGCAGAAUUGUUACCUGUAAUCGCCAUAUCAUCCACAUAGAGUAAUAACAUGAUGAUGUUACCAUCUUUGUUGUAUAUGAAGAGAGAUGGAUCCUUGAUGCUGCAGACAAACCCAAAUUCAAUCAAGAAGUCACUAAACUUGUUGAACCAGGCUCUGGGAGAUUGUUUCAAACCGUAGAGAGAUUUGUGAAGAUGGCACACGUGAUCAGGCUUCGUCUUAUCAACAAACCCCGCUGGCUGUUUCAUAUACACUGUUUCCAGAAGAUCACCGUGCAGGAAGGCGUUCUUAACAUCCAUUUGCUUCACUUCCCAUUUCAUAAUUGUCGCGAGAUGAAGAACUGUUCUGACUGUGGCUGUCCUGACUACUGGACUGUAUGUCUCGAGAUAGUCUAUUCCCUCUUCUUGUUUGUUACCAUGAGCCACCAGUCGAGCUCUGUGACUUUUGACAGUUCCGUCUGCGUUGAGCUUGUAUCUGUAUAUCCAUUGAUUUCCCAAAACAUGCAUCCCUGGAGUUUUAGGAACUAGAGACCAUGUCUUUGUGAUGGUGCAAUUUUCAAUCUCUUCUCCCAUUGCGUUGUUCCAGUUCGGAUCUUGAAGAGCAGCUGUCACAGUUGUAGGGAGUGGAUCAGUUGAUCUGUAAGCAAGCAACGCAUAUUUAGGAUUGGGCUUCCUUAUUCCAUCUUUGGACCGUGUCACCAUUGAAUGUUGAGAAGUCGAGAUUGGAGCAGUGUUACUGAUGGUCGUAGCCCUCUCAGUGUGUCUUUGAUUGUUACUGUUCUCCGAUGAUCUUGGCACAGCCUGGCUAGUUGAAGUCUCAUUUGUUCCUGUGAUUUGCGACGACACCACGUUUCUUGAUAGAGGUGGGAAGUCAUCUUGAGAGAACAGAGGUGGUUGAGAUGACACCGGAGUCUUAGCUAUCUGAACCGUUGACGUCAGCACUGGUGGCGAAACGCUUGUCCUUGUCUCAACUUGAGCUGAACUUUCCUUCAUAAAACUUCUUUGCCAAGCUGCCAGAGAAGGUGUGGUUGCUUGAGAGUGAAGAUUUUGAUACACUGAACCAAAGGGGAAGCUCUCUUCAUCAAACAGAACGUGUCUUGAAAUGUAUACCCGUCCUGUUGGUGGAUAAAGACAUCGAUAUCCUUUGUACUUAUCAUUGUAUCCGAGAAAAACACAGUGAAGAGAUCGUGGAUCAAACUUCGUAGCAGCGUAUUCUCUCAGCAUAGGAUAACAGGAGCAUCCAAACGUUCUCAAUGCAGAGUAGUCUGGAGCUUUUCCGUGUAGCAACUCAAACGGACUUCUCUUGUCUUGCAGAGCUGAUGAUGGCAACAGAUUGCUUAAGAAGUUAGCCGUGUAAAAUGCUUCGACCCAGUAUCUUUGAGGCGCUCUGCUCUGAAAGAUCAUUGCCAAUCCCAGCUCUGUUAUGUGUCGGUGCUUUCGUUCAGCCAUACCGUUCUGUUGCGGAGUAUGCGGACAUGAUAUGAACUGUUGAAUUCCAUUCUCCUUCAAGUGGGCCAGAAACUUGUUGCUGAUGAACUCUCCGCCUCCAUCACACUGAAACACUCCUAUCUUGGUUGACAACUGAUUCUCAACAAGCUUCUGAAAUGAGACAAAUACGUUGAAGAAACCUGGCUCUGAUACCAUGAAAGAUUGAAGAACAGAGAUGAAAAUAUAACUUUUAUUAUUUCUCAAUUCUUGCCGUUCUACAUUGUUCAUAAACAUGCUUAAAUAGACACAUAAACUUCUGUGAAAACCCUAGCUUCUGUAACACUUGUCAUCAUCCUUCUUCUCCUAGUGAUCCAAGGGCUGAGAAUGAGUUCUGUAACUCAGGACCACACGGUUCCGUACAUGAUGUCACAAUCUCCUUUCCUCUUCUCUUCUCUUCUCUUCUUAUGUUGAUGUCUUUGUCGUUGCUCAAUAUAACCGUUGGAGAGGAUUGAUGACUUGGCACAGUCAUAAUCGGAAUGGGCUUGGGCUUGAAGAUAGCUUCAUUCAGAGUCUUGGGCCUGUCCGUACUGAGGUUGCUAAUAACCUUGUGUCUCUCGCUCUUAUUUAAACAUGAUUAUUGCGUGAUUAAGAUAAGUUUCUGAAAUCAGAUAUCGUACGUGAUUACUACUCUUUUCCUUGUGCUGCAUAUCUUUUACCUUAUCACCACAAACCAUAGACAGCAUUUGAACAAGUCUCCUUGAACCAUUUGAAGCUCUUUUUCAUAGACCCCUUCACUUUCCCUUCAACACCAUACACAUUAUAACCAGCCACUCUCUUUUUCCUCUGAAUCUCUGCCUCACACAAACCCUUGUACCCUUUCUUCGCCUUACUAGUUCUUCUCUUCGAUUUACUGUUGGGACUGUCUCUGUCUCUCACCGUCGUUGGAUUCUUGUAUGGACUAUAAGUUGAUGCGCUGUAAGAUCUCAUCAUCACUGGUGGCAGCUGGUUUGUUGGACUUGGUGCUGCUUCUCCAUUACUAGUUAAGCAAUGGUACUUGUUGGUGAUGCUGCUUCUUCUUCCUGUGAUCUCUUCUCUGCAUGACUUGGAUCUGAACAUCUCUUCACUUGCAACAAGCUCAAGAAACUGUAUCUGCUGCUUUUAGGAAGAAAGAAAAGGAGAGUUGAUUUUGGCUUCUAUCACCAACCUCUUUCUCUUCUGCUUUUUGUCUCUUGUAAACUUUUUAACAUUUUUGGCAAAUAUGUAUUAUAUAGAACAUAAAGUAUAAUUAAAUUCAUUUGUUGUCUAGUGAUUACAGUUUACAACCUCAACAUCUGUGAACGAAGGUUCCUGGUCAUUGGUUAGAUGAGAUAAGUUUUUGUCGUUUACUAAUUUAACUUUAUUAGAAAUUAAUUACUAGAUUACCUCGUAUGUUUUAUUCUUCCUAAGAAAAUUUUGUAAGAUCUCAUGUCCUUUUGCAUUAACACAUGGCCUCUGCUUCUUACUUUAUGAGUUCAAGAGAGUUUUUGGGGCUCGUACCAUUUCCAAACAGUUAAUAUAAUUUGUAAUUUACUUUGGCCAAACUAAAUCAACAAAAUUUAAACAAGAAUUUGAUUUGCAUAUUUCACAAGAAAGAGAGCAAAACAUCAUAAGGUCAAUAGACCAAAUGCAAAACAAAAACAAAAACAGUUGUGCAAGCUCAUUAGUCUAAUGAUUUGACUAAAUGUUUACUAAUGCGUCUAUAUCAAGUGUCCAGAGAAUGCAAUGCAAGUUGAGCCAAUAUACAUGAUUUUCAUCAGAUUUAUUAUGUAAUAAUUCUCAUGAUUUAGUAAAGGUAAUAAAUUAUUGUUAGAAGCUUGAUCCAACCAUCUAUAACAAUUAUCUAUGAAAUGGUGAAAUACUAGAGAAAUAAGUAAACCUAGACUAUCCUUGUGAGUCAAGUUAACAAAGAAGUCACAUAACAUUAAACCGAAAAUCUUAAAGUGCCAACAAAACAAAAGAAGUCAUGAGAUGAGUUUUUCUACCAAAAAAGGAAGGUAAAAUCAGCAGCUCCUCGGUUAAAAAAAAAAAUAGAAAUUACCAAGCCGCCACAACAGUAAAAAAAAGACUCUAGAGAAGAUCAGCAACAUUGUUAGGCAACUCCUCAACAACCACAUUGUAAAACUUCUGAAUAUCAGACAACAUCCUCUCAUCAUCCGUCGUCAUGAAGUUAAUCGCCACUCCCUUCCUCCCAAACCUCCCACUCCUCCCGAUACGGUGAAGGUAAUUCUCCGGCUGCGUCGGCAAAUCAAAGUUAAUCACCAGAGACACCUGCUGAACAUCUAUACCACGCGCAAGAAGGUCAGUGGUUAUCAGCACGCGAGAAGAUCCCGACCUAAACUCUCUCAUGAUGAUGUCUCUCGUGUUCUGGUCCAUAUCUCCAUGAGUCGCCGAGACCGUAUGGUCACGGCUCCUCAUUUUAUCAGUCAACCAAUCAACCUUACGCCUAGUGUUCACAAAGAUAACACUCUGAGUGAUAGCCAGCGUCUCGUAGAGAUCACAUAACGUCUCCAGCUUCCACUCUUCUUUAUCAACGUUGACGUAAAACUGCUUGAUACCUUCGAGAGUUAGCUCGUCGCGCUUGACGAGAAUCCUCACCGGUUUGCUCAUAAACUUCCUCGUGAUCUCAAGCGCUUCAGGCGGCAUGGUGGCUGAGAAGACACCGACCUGGACCUUAGAGGGAAGAAGCUGGAAGAUGUCGUAAAUCUGAUCCUUGAAGCCGCGAGAGAGCAUCUCAUCAGCUUCGUCGAGAACAAACAUCUUGAUGGCGUCUGCGCGGAGAGACUGCCUGCGGAGCAUGUCGAAGACGCGACCAGGUGUACCAACAACGACGUGGACACCAGACUGGAGAAUGCGCUGGUCCUCACGGACGCUUGUCCCGCCGACACACGCGUGGACCUUGACGCCGAGGUAGUCGCCGAGAGCUCUCAUGACCUUUUCAAUCUGCUGAGCUAGCUCUCUUGUAGGUGCUAGAACAAGAGCUUGGCACUGGAGGAGAGUGUAGUCGAGCUGCUGGAGGACGCCGGAGCAGAAGGUGGCGGUCUUGCCGGUUCCGGAUUGGGCUUGCUGGAUCACGUCGAGGCCCUUGCAGAAUGGGAUGAUUCCUCUCUGUUGAAUAGCGGAAGGCUUCUCAAAACCUGGAACAUGGACAACGAUGAUUAAAUGGUCCUACAAUGACUUGUUAACAGUAGAUAAAAUAUAGGACGCUAAAUUAAUAGAGUAGAUAGAAUGUGUUAUGUAACGUACCAUAGGCGUAGAUACCCCGGAGAAGAUCAGACCUGAGUUCCAUGGUAUCAAAGCUAUCGCAGACUUCGUCAUAGGUGGUGUAGAAAGUUUCCUGUCCUUCCUCACCGAGUCUACAGAACAUCAUAUAACUUAGUAGCGGUUUGGUUACAUUGGUGAUUCAGAGAUUUCGAUAGUAGAUGAUGAGAGAACUUACAUGGCGUUCAUCUUGGUAUCAAACUGACGUGGAUCAUAUUGAGUUCCUUCAGACGCCAUUCCUGCCAUGACUGUAUAAACAUAACGACAUUGUUAAAAAAAUAACAUUUUUGAAAGCAAAGACAUUCAAUUUAUAACCAAACUCUCUUGUCUUAUUAGAUAUCUAAAAUCAAGCAUAAAAGACAGAGACUUCGAAUCUAUGUUCGUAAUGUGGAUUGCACUAUCAAAGGAAUCAACGAGACCAAAAACAGAACAAGUCUCACUGAUGAAUCUACAAUGUACAACAAUAGCCUAAACCUAUUGUAUCAAAUAAGGCACAAUGAGAAUCCAAAAACAUAAAUCAUAUAAAAGGUAAAGAGAGAGAGAGAUUCAAACAAACCUGUUAUUAGCAAAUUGAAGACGUGAGAGAGAGACGAAAGAUUCAAACAAAAACUCCUCGGAUCAGCGCCGUGGAGUUGAAGAAGAAACAAAAACUGUUGAAAAUUAUUGCUUAUAUAAUCCUCCGAUUUUCCAUUUUUAAUUAAUAUUUUUGGUUUACUUAGCAGGAAAAGGAAAACAAAACAUUAAUAUCUUCUGUUCUGACUUUACCCUCCCAACUGUUUAUAUAUUACUACCGUCUUUGUCUCUCUGUUUCUUUUCAGACAUUAGUCGGGUCCCACUUAGUUAUAUAUAUAUUAUUAUUCGAAUAUUUUACUUUGCAUCCCAAAAAUAGUAAACUCUAUUCGGAAAAGAAAAAUUCAUAAACAAAAGCCAUCUCCCACUAAUAAUAUGUUCUGUUGUUGUAAGAGACGCCUCUGAAAUUAUACUCACAAUACAGAGUCACGCCUCGUAAAAUUGACUCUUCUUUUUUUUUUUUCUUAUCAACAACUAAACCAAAGACUUAGACGUCCGUAGCUCGUCUACCACCUAAUGAAAGUCUUCAACUCUGGUCUGACGAGAGUGUAAUCAACCUAAAGGAUGAAUGUAGACACACUGUUGAGCUCGACGAUAUAGUCCCCAUAGACUCAAGCCAAGACCACAGCCUCGCCACGACAACCUACAAAACAACAUAUCAAAAAAAGAUUUAGCUUGCUUCUCUUCUCAUAUGAAUGGAAAAAAAUGAGCAAAGUCUCGGUAUUUACAUUCUUUAUGCAUCUCUUUAGCUAACUCCAGCAUAAGUUCGGUUUCAUCUGCAAGCUUAGUCGUCUUCUCCAACUCUUCCACUGCUGCUUUGGCCACGUUUAUUUUAUUCUCUGCCUCUACAACUUUACAUGCCGCGGUUAUUGCAGCUUCGUCGAUCAUCUCUUGUGAAACCGAAGGGGGUUGAUUGAUGUAUGAUUGCCGGGGUUUUACGUUUGUCUCCUUUGGUUUUGGGGUUGGGGCAGGUGUUGUUCUUGUUGUUGUUUCUGAUCCAUCUGGUAGCUUGUAGAAGUUCAGUAACUGUUGAGAGAGUUGGAAUUAUAAACAAGACAUAGAUUAAAAGAAAGAUGAAGAAACAUGUGAAAGAGAGGAGGCGUGUGCUUCAAAGACGACUUACAGGUUUUGAGUUGCUAACCUUUGAAAGUUUUCCCUGAGCUGCGAGCCUCCUCAGUCUUGAGCUAAGGACUCUUCUAAAAGUUGGCGGCACUUCAUGCCUUGGCUGCUCUUUCCACAAAUAAACCACAAGCUCCGUUAGGAAAGGUUGUAGCAACCAACUUAAAAGUAGAAUCAAGAGAACUAUAGCCCCUCCCUUAUAUGUAGUAGAUGAUGAGUCUCUACCAAACUCUCAAGGCAAAAAGAAGAGCAGAGAGAAACGUGUCUCUAACCUCGAUGAAGCUGAAGAUGGAACCGACAUCAGAUCCAUUUGGAUCCGCUAACUCAGAGAUAGCUUCAAAUAUCAUCGCGUCAUACCUGAAAAUAGCAACUCAUUCACAAGUUUAGCAAAGCAUGAUUGAUAGGGUAUAUUAUCAUCUAAGGACAAACCUGGGAGCGUUCUUGUUAUCCACAGCAAAGUUAUUAUCAACGCUAAAGUCAGAAGAAGCACUGCGUGGGAGGGAAGUAGCCGGCGAGGAAGAAGAAGAGUUAGGAUAAGAAGGUGGAGUAGCGGUAGCAGCAGUGGGUGAAAGAGAAGCCAGAGUAACGCCUUCUUCUUUGACUUUCCUCGUUCUCGACUUAUCAUUUGAGCAUUGAGUACCCGGAGCAACACACAAGUUACGCCACUUAUCCUAACAAACCAUUCAAAAACACACACAUAACUCAAGAUUCUUGUUCACCAAGUGAUUGAAACAGAGACAUAACUCUCUAGAUUCUUGUUCAUAACCAAGUCAUUGCAAAUGAUCUAAUCUAAGAAGAGGGAUAAAGUAAUGUUCUUUAAACCUCAUUAAACUCAACCAAGAUUGCUUUAGAAGGAAAAGGAGGAACCUUGAGGUCGAUGUUGGAGCGAUUGGUGAGCUGAUGGGCGAACUCGGGAUCACGGAGAAUGUUCUUCCACUUGCCGGGGCCGUGCUUUUCAAUUCCGGCGCGCAACGCCUCCUCCUCGUCCCCCGUCCAUUUUAAUUUCUGGUUUCCCAUGAAUCGGACUGAGACACCGUCUCGUCGCCGCCGUAACCUUCGCCGGCUAUUUCGGCUCUCUGGCUCCUCUGCUCAGGAAUGAGCCUAUUUUUUUUUUUAAGACUUCGAGAGGUUAGGGUUUGCAAGAUCCUGAACCGAACCAAAAUCGAACCAAAUCCAUUUUUAUGAUACUUAAUUAACUAAAUUAGCGACGUAAACAAUUUUUUUUUAAAAAACAAAUCUCUCGAUUUCAUAAUAAAUAUGUUUUAAAAAAAUUCUUGAUUAAAAAAUAGACGUUUUGAUACGUAUAUUUUUGUGUGAAAAUACUAAACAAGAAGUGAUAUUUUCGUCAUAAUUUUUUUUUAUUUAAAAAUUUAUAAUGUUAAAUACAAUUAAUUAAAUUUUAUUUUUUUCUUUUUUAAUCUAAAACUAGUUUAAAUCAAACCAAACCAAUAUCAAAUUUGAUCAAAGAUAUGAUUUAUUUUUUAGAACUAAAAUAUCUGAACAAACCGAGCGUGUAUAUUGGUUAUUGUUAGUUGUCACUAUUAAUUGCAGGCAAAUACGAACGUCAUCAUAUACAUACUGAUCUGUUCAAUGUUAAACGUUGACAAAAAAAAAUUGGUAAAACUUAAAUUGGUUACAUUUGUACAUAAUAAAACUUCAGGGUCAAAUUAGAAAUAUCAGAAUCCACCAGCUUGUGGCAAGCGAAAGCCAAACGAAACAAAACCGGGUCUAAUUGAUUAACAAAAGAACUAUGGGGUCAAAUUCGAAUUAAACCGAAUCUGGAACGAACGAGUUUGGUCUCUCUGACAGAACACAAACAAAAUAGUUUACUUUAAUAAGUGAAAAACCCUAAAACACACACACAAACAAAACUCUUUUUAACUCUCUCAUUUCUAUUUUCCCACAACACACAUCGGAGAGAGAGAAAGCAAACUCCAACAUUUCUCCGAUGGCGGCGAACAACAACAGAUCCGAUCACGACUCAUCAGACGAGAACAACAACACGCGUCUCUACAACCCUUACCAAAACUUCGAGGCUCCGAUAAAGUCUCAGUACCUCUACAAGCUCCCCACCUCCCCCGAGUACCUCUUCACCGAGGAGUCCUUAAAGCAGCGCCGCUCCUGGGGCGAGAAUCUCACCUUCUACACCGGCACCGCUUACCUCGGCGGCUCCGUCGCCGGCGCCGCGGUCGGGAUCGUGACCGGGGUCAAGAACUUCGAAUCUGGCGACACGACGAAGCUGAAGAUCAACAGGAUCUUGAACUCCUCUGGUCACACGGGGAGGACGUGGGGGAAUAGGGUUGGGAUCAUUGGGUUGAUGUACGCUGGGAUCGAGAGUGGCGUUGUGGCUGCGUUGGAUAGGGAUGAUGUUUGGACUAGCGUGGUGGCGGGUCUUGGGACCGGGGCGGUUUUUAGGGCGGCGCGUGGGGUGAGAUCCGCGGCUGUGGCGGGGGCUCUCGGUGGGAUAGCGGCUGGUGCUGUGGUUGCUGGGAAGCAAGUUGUGAAGCGGUAUGUGCCCAUUUGAUGAAGGGAGAAAGAUUGUUGCUUUUGAAAUUUUUUGAUAGAGAGAGAGAGAGAUGUUCAAUUUGGAAUAUCAUUAAAAAAAAAUGAAAACUUUGAAUAACAAAACCUUUUUAUUUAUAUGAUGAUGACUAUCAGGAAUGGUUAUUGGUUGUUGAUAGUAGUUUACUUUCUGAUAAGAGUUAGUCUUCUUUGCGUAUGGCUAAUGUUUGGGAUCUAUGUGUUGUAUCAGUCUUUGAAAUGGAACUAUUUUCCUUUUUCAAGUUUGUACCUAUUCUGAUCCUGAUCCUUAUUGUCUCCCUAUGGUUCACUGUCUUGACUCUUGAUUGCAGUUAGGACAUUGAGUAUCAAUGAUUGUGAUCCUCAAAGAUUGUGUAUUUAUGUUCCUCUCGUUCUUCCUUUUCACUUACUGUGUUCUGCUUUCUGGUUUGUCUCUGAAGUCUAUACUCUCUGGAUCUUGGCAGCAGCUGUGGUGGGUUGCUAAUAGUAUUUCAGACAAGUGUUAUCUUAGUAUUAUUGCUAUUGAGAUUUUUUUUGCAUUACUUCUUACACAUUAUGGAAAACAACCAAUGAACUCAAAUAAACUCCAAAAAAAUCUUCAAAUUUCAAUGUUUUGCAGUUGCUUAGUAAAAUAUGUUCUGUUACAGAAAAUUAAUGUUCCUGUCAGACGAACUUCCAAUAAUAAACAAAUCUUCUUUAAGAAGAGUUUAGUUUUACAUGACUUAUGACUAUAAAAAUAUGUUAUGGGAGAUCAUCACCCCACUGAACUUUUGGAAGGUGCACAACUCAUAAAAGACCAACGGUUGCCUUUGUACUGGCUACUUCUUUCUGAUCUUGGAGGUCGUCUACUUCUUCUUGGUACUGAAUGACUACGCGUCUUUAACUGAUCAAGAUCGCCGCGGAUCUCAAGUACUCCCAAAGUUGGCUUCCUGCUAAUCUACGUUCAUGUUUUUUUUUAAAUUUUGUCAAUACUCAAAUAGGAUUUUUUUUUUUCAUUUCAUCCUCUUUCUACCGUUAACAUAUCUAAAACCUUUAGCAUGUGUGCAGAACACAAAAAGUUUUGUUUAUAUGUCUCUUGAUCAGCUAAGGUCUAGAUUCUAGUCCAUGUGCAGCAGAACGGUUCUAAGAAACUAACCUGAGAGGAAGGAACCGGAUCUGAAUAGUUAGAUUGUGACACAUGAGAUGUUCUGUUCUUGAUACGUUCAUGAUCCUCUCUUGCAAACUCUCUUAGCCUGUUCAGAGCCGGUAACACUACUGAAGCGAGAUCAGGUCUGUCUCUUUUCCUCAACUCACAGCACUGUAAAGCCAAUUUAGCCAACUCCAGAGUCUCUUCCUCAGGCCAUUCUGAUACCUUUGGAUCGAAAAGUUCACUGAGCUUGUUGUUUUCAACCGCCAUCUCUACUUUAUGGCCUAACCCCAUUGCUGGCAUGGCUGUUAUCAUUUGCAAAAGCACCACACCAAAAGAGUACAGAUCAGAUUUCACUCCCAGCAAUCCGGUUUGCUGGUACUCAGGGUCGAUGUAACAGAAUGUACCUGUUUCCUCAUACCACAAAGGGAAAACAAACAAACAAACAUCAACACUGUGGUUCCAUGUAAGCUUUGGACACAUUUCUCCAGAACUGAAGAAAUGAACAGAAACCAAACCGAAUUUCUUAAUCAACCAGACAGAACCUGUAUUUUUAGAACAGAAAAACUGAAACUGAACUAGACCGAAAAUAGAAUUGAAUGAGUACCUUAGUUUUUAAAAUACAUAUUAUAUACCUAAAAUUAUCAAUUAUAUUUAAUUCCCAAAUAACCAAAUAUUUUAAUAAUAUUAUUUAUAAACUAAAUUACCCGAAAUGUCGGAACCGAACCGAACAAAAUUGGACCCAAUUUUUUUUCUGGAUAUUAGUCGGUUUUUAACUUUGCUAUCUGUACCGAACCAAAAACCAAAAUAACCAAAUAAAUCGAACCGAAUUUUGUAAAUAACUGAACAGGUUCCUAAAUUUUUUAAGCGGAAAAAACAAUAUUUGAACCAAACUGCCCAUGCCUAGUUCCAAUGUCAUGAGAUAAAAAAAAGAGACAGAAGUUUAGAUUCUUACCAGCUGCAGAAGUCAUGUGAUAGUUACUAUAGCUAUCAGCCACAGAGGAAGGUACAAGACGAGCUAGACCAACGUCACUAAUCUUGCUAGUGAAAUGUCUAUCAAGUAAAAUGUUUGCCGGCUUCAGAUCACGAUGAACCAACGGCUCAGGUUUCGCAUGGUGAAGGAAAAGAAGCCCUGUGGCAACCUCCGCAGCGAUUCUGAACCUUGCUCUCCAAGAAAGCGGUGGUGUAUUGUCUUUGCAGAAGAGACGAUCUUCAAGCGUUCCAUUCUCCAUGUACUCGUAAAUAAGACAACCGUACUCAGGACAUGCACCGAGGAGGAUCACCAUAUUAGGAUGUCUCAUGCUACUCAGAACCUCAACCUCUUGUUGGAACUGUUUGAGGCCUUGUGUGAUGCCAGACUUCAAGAUUUUAAUGGCGACGGAAGUGUAAUCGAGGACGGCCUUGUACACAGGUCCAUACCCUCCUUCACCAAUCUUUAAAGCAUCUGAAAAGCCGUUGGUUGCACCUUCAACGUCUUUGAUACUGUAACGUCUGUAAGAGACGUUGCUUGCCAUUCUUUGUUUCUCCAACUUGGCUUGCAUCUCAAGUAACUUUCUCUUUUGGCUCUCCAUUUUUGCUAACUGCUUUGCUAUUUCAGCUGCUUGGAUUGCUGAAAGCCUUUUCUGAUUCUCCUCAGACAAUGCUCUAGGCAUCUCUAUUGCUUGGUCUAGUCUUCUAACUCCUUGAGACUACAUAGUUCAAUACCUGGUUAGUGAUUCAUCCACCAAGAACCUAAAGGAAAAACCAGUGUCAUCAAAAUGGAGACAAGGUAAGAAACAGCUUACGCUUUCUUUGUUGUUUGAGGGAUUAUACUGCUUCAGUUCUUGUCUCAAUCUCCUCACCUCGGCUUCAAGAUUUUGAUUCUGUGAAAACACAUAGCAAAGAACAUACAUCAUGUUGACAUUUAUGCAAAUCCGGGACCAAAGUCUUAUGUUUCUAAAAACCUAACCUGUUGUUCCAUGAAAGUUACCGCAUGUGGACUCUCCUGUUCAUCAAGGAAAUGUCAGAACAUAGUAAGAAACUAAACUUCUAUUUGAGUGUACUGAUACUAACCGUGGAUGUUGAAGAGAUGGAGCUUCCGUUGGUAGUGGAACUUUGAGAUAUAGUGUAAGAAGUCACAGUUGAUACCAUACCAUAACUUCCAUUGUCAGUGUCUGACUGAGAACACUCACUCAGAUUUUGCUGUGUUGAGAUGCGAGGAGGUGAACUGGUUUGGGAGAAAUCUGACAUGGGUUUGCUGUGUUGUGUAGAUACAACUGAAUCCCUGUGUAAAUGUAAACCAAACAGGACAUUCUUUACUACCAUGGUUAGAUAAUGGUUGGGAGAAAGGUUAGAGUGUACCUCUCUGAAUCACUUGAAUAGUUGGAGCUCCUUGGCUCAUUAUUGUACAACAAAGUAGAGAGACUUUGUUGUAUGGGAUGAUGCUUCAGAGCCUGACUUGCGGAUUUGCUUUUUAGCAGUUUAACUUUUGAGACAACAAAGACUGCGCAAGUCUCUGGAGACGUUUUAAGCAAAGUGGUGGGCACAUCUGGUCUCUUAAACUUCCUGAUCACAGAGAGGGACUAAUGUUAGUAUUCAUAUACAACCAAUGUUGAGAUAAUAUCAUUGAGCAUGAGAAUCGAGAGAGACUUGAAAAAGGCAUUGUGAGAAGAUGCGCCAACAACGAUAUUUGAAAUGGAAUUGUUAGUGAUGUAGCUGACAAUAGCAUUAGAGAUAUCAAUCUCUCUAAGAAGAACCUCCUUGGGAAUAAUCUGAAAAAGCAGUUUGGUAUAAUAAGUAAUGGAAACAUAAGUGUUUUGAUGCAGUAAAGGAGAUUGAGAGAUGAUCACUAACUCCUUUUCUAGAGCAGAAUCCUCUGAAAGGAAGAAAGAACUGAUGCGAAUCAUCUUGAUUGUCACGUUGUAUAUGUGCUCCUGUGUUUCCUUCUGCAAGAUGGAUGACCUCAUUAGAGUUAUCUGACAUUUUUUGUUUUGAUGAUGAGAGGUAAAUAAAGAUCGAGAUUAUGCCUUUAGGUUCAACGUGGAGAAGAACACAUUGUGGAGAAUCGACAAGAAUGUUCUCAACCGCCCAUUUCAAAGCGUGUUGGCUGUUCUUGUCUUUAUCAAUGGCUAUCACCGUGAUUAUGCCAUUGUCUACUCUUCUUGCAGACAUGUUAAAGACUUGCUACGCAAGAAACUUGAAUAGCGUGUUUCACAAGCGAACCAUGAUACUAGUUAAUUUAGCAAUUAACAUCUAAAAACCAAGACCGAUGGUGUUUGUUUUCUUUCGUUUGGUUCUGCGACUUCUGAGAAGAAACAAAGAACUAUAAAGAAACAGAUUCCGCUUUUAUUAUUGUGAAUGAAGAAGCUUGAGUGGUUUUGCAUGUUUGCUAAUUUUGGAGUGUUUUUUUUUCUCAAACGACUCAACAGUCUUGUGAACAAACAUCUAAACUUUAUUUAGAAAGUGUUAUUUUGGGAAGUUGCUAUCGGUUUGAAACUUCGAAUCAAACGAAGUCCGGUUAUGCAUUACUAAACAUUAAGUUGGUUUUCUUGUCUUGAUUUGUAAGAUUAGCCAGAUAAUGCGUUUUAGACUAAAAGCAUAGAAUAGUAUGUUGCGUUUUAUGUUUCGUUCUGAUAAUGUUUUUGAACUACAGAAUUGACAUUUGGGCAGAACAAUGUUUUCUUGAACGUAUUUUUUUAUAAAACGAUAUGGUGAUAUUUUGAUAGAUUAUAGUACAUCAUUUUUCACAUGCUCAUGUUUCCUAUUUUUUUUUUUUUUUAAAUGUAACUUUGUUAUUUUUUACCAUUCAAUAUAAUGUUUUCAGGCUUUAAAAACUAAUCAUGCUAAAUAUAUACUUUGAGCGUCUUGAAUUUAUAUGUAAUAAAAAAUAACACAGUGUUAAUAUAUUAAAAUAAAUUAUAUUUUUAUUAUUCAAAUGUUUUAGCAUAUUUUACAAAAGAAUAUUCAAAUCAAAUAUUUAUGUAAUUAAAUCAAAUAUUUAUGGUCGACCGUGAGAUUAGUGAAGAUUAAAACAAUUAUGGUUUGAUAAUCAAAUAUUUUGUAAAUAUGUAUUUUAGAUGAUUAAAGGAAAAAAUAAUGUAUAUUAAACAAUAAUUUGAAAUUUGGAAGUUAAAACAAAUGUUUGUUCUCGUGUUGAUUGAUGAUUUGAUUAUUCUCCUAAUACAAAAAAUGACGUGAAGAUAAUCUCAUGUUAGCUUAAAUUGUAAUUGAACUUAUGUUUCUUAUAAUAUCGACAUAUAAAUAUUAAUUGAAUUGCUUCGUAUUAUUAGUUCUGUUUAACUUUUUUAUAAAAAUCUUCUCGUAACAAGUGAUAUUUUUGUAAUUAUUCGUUAUCUCUUGUAGUAUUCAUGCUUUUGUAGCUUCUGACAGUCUAGAAUAUCUCUUUUCUUCGCUUCAACUAUCUACCACCAACUGAAAUUUAACUUUAGUCCUAGUGCACAGUACAAACAUCCCCAGUCGUAUAUUUACUCAACACUAUUAAUUGAUAAACACCAACAUUUUGAUUUUUUCCUCCUAGAUCAAUCAGACAGCCACAUGGGCAGGUAGAAAUCGGAAUUAUUGCGAAAGUCAUCACUUUCAGAAAGACAAAAACACGUUGCAUUUUCUCAUUUACAGAGCCAAAAAAGAAGAAGAAAAUAAACUAAUUAAAAAGCUAACGAUCAAAAUAUAUAUUGUUUUCUCUCAGUUGUCGUCUUCCAACUUCUCUCUUUUAGCCAUAUCACAAUUUCGUAUACGUCUCUCGAAACAUGAUUAGUUUUAAGACAAACCAUAUAACACUACGAGUGUGGUGUGAAUUUUUCCAUUGUUAGUAACAAUAAUUGGUGUUAUUCUUACCUUGUGUAUAUAUAUGGACAAGUUCCUAAGAGUAUAUAUAGUGGAACAAAAAAAGAGUUAUAUCAAUAAUAGGUAGGUGAAUCAUCAAACAAUAUUAUCUUUUUGAGGUGGUAAAAUACUAAAAUAUUUCGUUUUAUGUAAUUGGAUCAAAUGUAUAAUAAAUCCAUUAAAAAUGACUCAUGAUUAUAUUAACUGUUUAUAGUGAAAAUUAUAUAUAUAAAAUAAAACAUGAUUAUGUUGAACAAAUUACCAACUCGUCAAGAUUCCAUUCAUACUCUUACAUUCUCUUACAUUCUAUAUAGCUAUUCAUGAUCAUAUAAUUGCAUUUAGAACUAAUACAUGCAAACACAUAUCAUUGUUUAAUUCAUAAUAUGCUAUUUAUACCUCACUUAACUGUGAUUGAUCUAUCCAAAUGUCAUCUAUUCAUCUUAUAAUCUCUAUUUAGAAUCAAUGUAUACGUGUACGCGUGAAGACUUGGUGAAAAGUUUGUUAAAUAAGAAUAAAAGACUUGGUGAAAACCUUUUAUAUACUCACAUUAAACAUAUAUAUGUAUCAAAUUAUCAACACGUCAAGAUUUCAAUUUGUUAACAUAUCUCAUACUCUCACAUUCUAUAUAUUCAGCACAUACAGUUGUCAUAUAGAACUAAAACAUGCAGAUACAUAUGUCAUGAUAAAUCCUUAAAAAGAAUAUUUUAUUUAAAUCUCACUUAUCUGUAAUUAAUUUAUUCAACCAAAUGUUCAUUUAGAAUCAGUGUAUGCGUCUACGCGCCAAGACUUGGUGGAAACCUUUUAUAUACUUUUAAUAAAAACAAAUUUUCCUAGUGAAACAUAUUUAACAAAAAAAGGGAUUUAAUGAAACUCUUUAUACAUAUUUCAUAUGUGUAACCAUUACCAUAAAUAAAAAACGAAUUUUCCUAGUGAAAUAUAUUUUACAAAAGAGGGAUUUAAUGAAAUUAUCAACGCGUCAAGAAUUCAUUUUCGCAUAUCUCACACUCUCACAUUCUAUAAUAUAGUCAUCUCAUACAGUUGUCAAUUAGAACCAAAACAAGCAUAUAUAUGUAAUUAAUUAUUUGAUCCAAAUGUUACCUAUUCCAUCAUAUAUAUAAUCUCCAUUUAGAAUCGAUGUAUGAGUCUACGCGUCAAGACUUUUUAAUGAAAUUCUAAUGGAAAUUUUUAUACAUAUUAUAUAUAUAACCAUUAGCAUGAAUAAAUUUAGUAUUUGAAUUCUAAAUCCCGACGCAUGGUGAGAAACAUAAAUGUAAAACAUAUGUUGACAAAAAAAUGUAAAACAUAGGAGUAUUUAUUUGUUUUAAAAGAAAAAGAAAAAGAAAAGAAAAGAUAUAAUAGAGUGGGGAAAAAAAAGAAGAGAAAUAAUAGGCGAUGUUGGUAGAUCGACAGGUGUUGCCUGAAGCGACCUUAAGAAGGACAAUGACAAAAAGGAGAACAAAAAGGACUUGUGUAUACGUGUCCCUUCUUUAAUACUCAUUUUUCUGUAAUAAAUAAAUAAAUAAAAUACUCUUUUAUUUAAUUUUUGUUUAUUAAAAUCACAUUUAAAAAAAAAACACAGAGAGAAAAAAGAGCAAACCACACAAUAUUCUCCUCUUCUCUCUCUUCUUCUUCUUCGUCUUCUUCUUUCGUUUUGAUAGAGAGAGUCUCUCUCUUUAAGCACGAGCAUCCGAAACGAAAGAAGAAAACAUUCUUCACUCGUUCUCUCCUCUCUGUAUCAAAUUAGAAUUUGCUUCGUGAGAUUCAACUUGUAAGUUCUUCUCUUUAUAGAGUAUGCUUUUUAAUUGGAAGAUGAUGAUUGAUAUGCUAUGAAUCUCUUUUCUUCUUUAUAUAAGCUUUUGUGUUUAGUUUCUUAAUACCAAAGUUUAAUUCACCUUUUUUCUAUUUAAUAAUAAUAUUUCUAUUUAUUUUUCUUGGUAAUAAUAAUAAAAAAAAAGCUGAAGAAGCUGUCUUUUUUUAUUUACUUAGAUCCAGAAACAUCCAUGUUCUGUAAUGAUUCAAGAUGUCACUGAUUCGAAUGUUGUGAUUAAUAACAUCUCUUUAACGAUCUCUCUCAAUAGGGUGGAAGAGAAAGACAAGAGGAGGAGGAGGAUCCAUCGCCAUCAGAUCUGCUUCAUCUCGAAUGGAAGAGGAGAUGAUGAAUCAUUGCUUAGAGGAAUCCAAGAAGAUGCGAACUAUUGAAUGGUCUUAAGCUAACAAAGUACCAAGAAAACAAUUCGUUCCAAAGGUUCUUUUAUUUUUCUCUGUGAUGGAAGACAUGACUCCAGCAGUUGCAGUGACUCUCAGCUUAGCUAACUCUAUAUGCGACUCAUCACCUGUCGACAUCACUCAGCUCAAGAACGUUACCGACGCAGCUGACUUGUUACCUGAUUCCACCAUGGAAGAACAAUCCAAGAAAGGGUCCUGUGAUGGAAGUGUUGUGGAUGAAGACGAGGUGGAGGAUACUAGGGCCGUCAUAAGCGAAGGCUUACUAGUCGUUGACGCUGGAUCUGAACUCACCUUGUCUAUGGAGAUAGAUAACGGUAGAGUUCUCGCUAAAGCCAUUAUCCUAGGGGAAUCAAGCAUCGAGGAGGUUCCUACAGCUAAAGUUCUCAUUCAGGACACUAAGAUAGAAGAUUGUUCAGGUGUGACAGCUUCAGAGGUUGUUAUUAGGUUGCCAGAAGAGAAUAGUAGUAAUAACCACGUGGCGAAGGGGAGAAGCGUCUAUGAGCUGGAUUGUAUCCCUCUCUGGGGAACGGUUUCUAUUCAAGGUAAUAGAUCUGAGAUGGAGGAUGCUGUUGCCGUGCUGCCUCAUUUCUUGAAGUUACCUAUCAAAAUGCUUAUGGGAGAUCAUGAGGGUAUGAGUCCAAGCCUCACUCACCUCACUGGUCAUUUCUUCGGUGUUUAUGAUGGUCAUGGAGGCUAUCAGGUAUGCUAUAAUGACAAUAGUACUUAGUAAUUGAAGGUUGUUGCACCUCUCUGAAUGUUAUUGCUCUUAUAGGUUGCUGACUACUGUCGAGAUAGACUCCAUUUUGCUUUAGCUGAAGAGAUAGAGCGCAUUAAAGACGAGUUGUGCAAGAGGAACACUGGAGAAGGUAGGCAGGUGCAGUGGGAGAAAGUCUUCACUAGCUGUUUUCUAAAUGUAGACGGUGAGAUUGAAGGAAGAAUCGGUAGAGCUGCUGCUGUUGUUGGUGGUUCUUCUGAUGUGGUUCUUGAAGCUGUUGCCUCCGAGACUGUAGGAUCAACAGCUGUGGUUGCUUUGGUUUGUUCAUCACAUUUAGUGGUUUCUAACUGCGGUGAUUCUAGGGCGGUUUUGUACCGUGGCAAAGAAGCCAUGCCCUUAUCAGUUGAUCACAAAGUAAGAUUUGAGCUUCUUUCUUUAAUCUUACCGACUUGAUGAAGUUUUCUUGACGCCUCUUUACUGUUUCUUGCAGCCGGAUAGAGAGGAUGAGUAUGCGAGAAUAGAGAACGCUGGUGGGAAAGUUAUACAGUGGCAAGGCGCUCGUGUGUUUGGUGUUCUCGCCAUGUCUAGGUCCCUUGGUAAGCAAUACUUCUCUUGAUCACCACUAAUGCAUCUAUGAAUGGCUUAUUAAUAUCAUCUAUGGCACAUCACAAGCACUAUACCAUUAGAUCCUUUGUUGUGUGUUUUCCUUCUCUGAACCAUAUUGCAGGUGACAGAUACUUGAAGCCAUAUGUGAUUCCAGAACCGGAAGUGACGUUCAUGCCUAGGUCAAGAGAAGAUGACUGUCUAAUAAUAGCCAGCGAUGGUCUUUGGGACGUAAUGAGCAACCAAGAAGUCUGUGAAGUAGCGAGGAAACGGAUCUUGAUGUGGCACAAGAAGCACGGUGCGCCGCCUCUAGCGGAGAGAGGCAAAGGAACGGAUCCAGCUUGCCAAGCGGCGGCUGAGUACCUCUCGGUGCUUGCUCUUCAGAAAGGAAGCAAAGAUAACAUCUCCAUCAUUGUGGUUGACUUGAAAGCUCAAAGAAAGUUCAAGACCAGAGCUUGAAUGAAGCUUGAUGAUGAUUACUUUUUUUCUUUUUUACUGGGGUAAGUUUGCAGAAUCUUCUUAUAUUUUAGAUCGUAAGAGAUCUAAUUUCGACCUGUUUUUACUUAUAAUUUACUCAAUAUUGUAGUAAAGACUGAAGAAGAUGGUGAUGAUGAUGAUGCAUAGCUAAUUAUAAGUACAUUCCUUUUUUUUUCUCUAUGGAAACUUGGACUUAUGUAUUAAGAAGAAAUAGGGCAAUAUAAUGUUGAUUUUCCUUCUUUCAUUUUGGGUAUUGAAGUAGAUGAACAUGUUGUAAUGUUUUGUGAUGUGGCUAAUGAAACUGUAAUUGAAACUAUGCCACAUUAACCCUUUUUGCCUUUUUUCUAACCUCUAUAGAUUAAUGUCUUUUUAUUCUGUAACUUACAUAUUGCAUAUAGAGAGGGCCAGAAUGCUAGAGCUGUAGAUAAUGGUUUCUGAGUUGAUGUUUGGUUUCAUUUCCGUAAUAUAUUGUUAGACAAUGCACUGGUUGUCAACAAGUGGACGUGCCGGAGUGGUUAUCGGGCAUGACUAGAAAUCAUGUGGGCUUUGCCCGCGCAGGUUCGAAUCCUGCCGUUCACGGUUUUUGUGUUUCGUUUCCUUUUUCUCAUAUUUUAAUUGUUUCCAUAGCUAAAAGGGUUAAUAUUUAUUUAUUUUUUUAACAAAGUGAACCAGACAGUGAAGGCAAAAAUCUACUGUGCAUUGUAAUAGAAUUUAGGUUUUUUGUCCACAAUAUAAUCUAGAUUAUAGAAAGUUGAUAUCAUUUUUAGAUAAUCUUCUUUUGCAGGGAAGAAAGCAAAAAAAAAAUAACAAAAGGUUGAUAAUAUAAAUAUUUGAAGUUGACGGUUGGGGCAACGAUAGCGCCGGCUCUCUCCUCUUCGUUCCCCUUUGACCAGAAAUGCUAAUUAUUAGAAUCUUCGAUAAAUAUUGAACACAUAUUUUAUUCGAAAUUACAAGUUAACAUGCUAAUUACGCCUUUAGUUUUCGUACAGAAAACGUGUUUAAUAACACGUUAUACAUAUACGACUACGUUGAACAAUUUUGGCGUACCAAUAUGUAUGUGCUUCAUUUAAUCCAGCUGUAUCAAGAGCAAAUAUCUUUGUAAUUUCAUUUCCAACAUUCACAAGCAAAUUAUCACCGUUUUCCAGCUUGUUUAUCUAAAAAAAUCAUCAGGAACAAGUUUUUUUAAAGAAAAUCUAACAAAAGUUUCUUUUCGAGAAAUACUUGGGUUCACCCCCUAGGGUGAACCUCUAGGUUCACUAACCAAUAGUGUUUGAGUAUUUGAUAUUUGAUAUCUUUUAAAAAAGGAAAUAAAUUUGAAUAUCCAAAUUAGAUUAUAUCUUUAAAAUAAAAUAAUAAAAAUACAUAAAAAUAGUUACAAAAAUAAAUAAAUUAAUAUCGUUAAGUCUUCAGCAAAAUAUUAAACCCUAUACCCUAAAUACUAAACCUUAAACCCUAAACGUUAAACAUUAAACUUUGAAUAAACUCUAAACGUUGGAAAAUCUUAAACCCUAAAUCAUACAUUAAAAACUAAAUUUUAAUAACACUAAACCCUAAAUCCUAAUCACUAAACCCUAAACCUUGGGUAAACUCUGAACCCUUGGGUAAACUCUGAACCCUUGGAUAAAUCAUAAACUCUAGGGUUUAAUUUUAAAUAUUUUUGAUUUAGAGUUUAUGAUUUAUCCAAGGGUUCAUGCUUUAUCCAAGGGUUUAUGGUUUAGUGAUUGGGUUUAGGGUUUAGUAUUAUUAAGAUUUAGUUUUGAUGUAUGAUUUAGGGUUUAAAAUUUUCUAAUGGUUUACGGUUUAUCCAAGAUUUAAAGUUUAUAAUUUAGGGUUUGGAGUUUAGAAUUUAGGGUAUAGGAUUUAGUAUUUUGCUAACAUUUUAACAAUAUUUAUUUAUUUAUUUUUUGUAACUAUAUUUAUGUACUUUUAUUGUUUUAUUUUAAAAAUCUUUAUCAUAUUUGGAAAUUCAAUUUUAUUUCCUUUUUUAAAAGAUAUCAAAUAUCAAAUACUCAAUCACUAUUGGUUGGUGAAUCUAGAGGUUCACCUUAGGGGGUGAACCCAAGAAUUUUUCGUUUCUAGAUACAUCUCCAAAUUCUCGUGGAUUCACAUCUUUUGCUACCAAGUUAAAACAUGGUAGUAAUAUGUAGAGUGUAAACAGUGAGGAGAAGAAAAAACCGUUAUUAUAAGAAGGGUAAAAGGGGAUAUAUUUUGAAACUGUAAGUUGAAUAGUUUCAUCAUUUUCAUGGGUGACUUGGUAAAGGUGUAGUCAAGUACUAAUUAGAUCAUUAUACAUUUUGUUCAAAUAUCUACUACGUUGAAAUGUAUCUGCACAUGUAAUUAAUUGAUAACAUGAAUAAAAUAUAUGAAAUGAAGAAAUUUACACAUAACUAUCCUUAUAAGUUAUAACAUAUCUUACAAGUAACAUGUCUAACACUUCAAGACAAAAACAUAUUUAUUUGCAAGGAAGGUGUUAAGUAAAGUAGUAAUCCAGAAAAAAAAAAAAUCUAAACAGAAGAAGCAAAGCAUAUAAAGCAUAUGGAAGAAGUACUUUUAAAAUCCUAAAGGAAGCAUAUGGAAGAAGUAGAAGAUGGAGACGCGUCUACGCCGUUCUGGCUUCAAUCCCGCCGCAAUAACACUUACUUCCGCCGUACCUCUAGUCUCGGCGGCCGCGCAACCACCGUCGCCACACAAGCAUUCUUCGCCGGAGCCGCUGCGAUCCUCAUAGUCUACUUCAUCAUCCCUCCAUUCUUCACCUCCGUUUCACAGUUUCUCCGACCGCAUUUGGUCCGUAAAAGCUGGGACUAUCUCAACUUCGUUCUCGUCCUCUUCGCCGUCAUCUGCGGUUUCCUCAGCCGCAACACCACCGGUGACGACGAAAGCAAUCACAACAAGGAAGAAGUCAGUAAAAACAAAUUCUCGUCGAUCAUCGAUCGAGGCAGUGUAUCUAACGGUGAUCAGUUUCGUGAUCAGAGGGUGUACAAGAGGUAUAGCAGUUUACGUAGUAGUAGCUCGUAUCCAGAUCUGCGGCUCAGAGGAUUUGAAUCCGAUGAACGGUGGAGAUUUUACGACGAUACACGUGUAAGUCAAUGCCGUUACGAGGCUUUAGAUCCGACCAAUCGAAAUCAAGAAGAUGGCGGCGGUUCUGAUACUGAGAAAGUUGAGGUCGUUGCGACGGCGGAAGCUGAAGUAGUAGAAGAGUUAACAUCGCCUUCUAAUCCGCGGCCUCUGCCUUCUGCUCCGCCGUAUCCUUUUCCUGCCACGCCGUCUCCGCCUCGUGCUCCUCCACCGUCGAAGCCGGCAAAGAGGAAGACAAAGAGAGUGUACCAAAACGUCCCUGCGGCGAGGCCUCCGAUUACUCCGGUUCCAGCUCCGGCGACGGUGAAUCAAAAGAUUAGUAAACAGGAGAAAGGCGGAGCAAGUAAGGACUUUCUUGUUGCUCUACGGAGAAAGAAGAAGAAACAGAGACAACAGAGCAUCGACGGUCUCGAUUUACUCUUCGGCUCCGAUCCUCCGUUCGACUAUACACCGCCGCAUCCUCCUCCGCCUCCACCUCCACCACCUUUCUUCCAGGGACUCUUCUCGUCUAAAAAAGGCAAAAGCAAAAGAACCUAUUCAACUCCGCCGCCGCCUCCGCCGCCUCCACCUCAUCGGAACUAUGAAUCAUGCUCAUCAAUGGCGAAGAGACACAAUUCUCCAUCCGAAGCAACUCAAUUCAUAGGCACUGGAAGCGAAUCACCAUUACUGCCGAUCCCGCCGCCACCUCCUCCACCGCCGUUUAAAAUGCCGGCGUGGAAAUUCGUGAAGCGUGGAGAUUACGUCAGGAUGGUUAGCAACAUCAGCAUAAGCUCUGACGAACCUGAUGAUGAUGAUGAUCACGAUGUAGCUCAAUCAAGCUCAGUGGGGAGCAUGUUCUGUCCGAGCCCCGAUGUGGAUACCAAAGCUGAUGACUUCAUAGCGAGGUUCAGAGCUGGACUCAAGUUGGAGAAGAUCAACUCCGUGAAAAGAGGGAGAUCCAAUUUAGGACCCGAACCCGAAUCUUAAACGGGUUUAUAAAAUCCUUAAAAGGCCUAGGCCCAUGUGUACAGACGUUGAUUUCUCUUUUUGGAGUGUUUCAUUCUUGAUCGUGGAUCCCUUUUUUUGGUGUGUAUAUGAAGUAUAUUAUUGUGUUGUGUUUUUUCUCUCUUAUAUAUUUUCGUCUACGAAUUUUUGUAUUUUGUAUGUGGUGUAUACAACUUUAGCCCGUCAUAGCGAUAACCGAACAAUCUUUAUAUAUUUUGUGAAUUAGUUUCUCGAGCUUCUCCAUUUUGGAGACCAAAACAAAUCUGAAGAAGCCGAAGAAAGAUGUGUUCUUCUUGAUUGAUUGUACUCGGUUUUCCACUUUGCUAAGGCCACUAUCGACCCAAUAGACUUACAUCGAUCUUUAACAUUCAUCACCAUUUCAUCUUUUAUAGAAGGUUGUAUUUGUAUACUUUAUAAAGAUUCAACUUACAUUUUGGACGCAGAAUUUUAUUUGGUUACUUAAGACAUGGAAAAUGUUCUGAACCAAUAAAAGUGGAUCUUACAAAUAGGGAGCAUUGUGGGGUGGACUAAAAACUAGGGUUGAUUUAGCUAGCCCAUGUACAAUGUAUACAACCAACAUUAAUAGAAAUUUAAUCCGAUCAUAUUGUCCCAGCCCAUCACGAUGCUAAGGUACUUUUUGGAAUCAGUUCCAUGCCGAAUACAACUUUUUUUUUUUUCCGUCUGGAUAAUUUUUAAUUAAAGAAAACGGGCCAAGCCCAGAUGAAUACAACUUUUUCUUUGAUGAAUUAAAACUUUAGUAUAUAACUUUUCCCCCACAAAAAUCUGUUGAAGAGAAAUGAUUAACGAUGUAUAAAUUUCAUAUGUGGACCAAAAGAGUAAUGUAGGUGUAAUGCUAAUUUCAGAAAAAAAAAACAUUAUUUGAUAUAUAGAUUUGAAUCUCAAAUUUAUGACACUCACAAUGUCACUUAAAUGAAACAAUUACUGCAGAAAUGAUUUCUGUUGAUGUUUGGUGGUUUCUUGUUUUAGGACCACCACUGUUCAUGCAAUUUAGCAUCUCAAUGAAAUGAUAACCCUACCUACACAAAAGAUAUUCUUUAUGCACAACAAAAGGCUGGAGGGAUGGUGGAACUGUAAAAAAAAAGAAUCAUGCACAGGUGAGGUCACGUGAGUUUGUCUGAAAAGAUCACGUGACUCAUCUCUACACACACUGACUCCUGCUCCUUGUUUUCCUUCCAAUUUCCAAACCUGUGUCCGCCCAACGACCGAAGGAUAUGGACACCACGUCAUCUUAUCCAUAACAAACAAAAACAGAUCCAUUUUCUCUCUCUUCUCUCCUCCUUCUCAAAAAGAUCUUAGCCGUCGAUUACGAUGACUAUUUCUGUACCUUAUCUAUAUCUCCGCCGUCGAUCCUCUCCAAAAAUGUCGUGACUGACACGUGUCACCUGCCAGCAUCUGAUUUUACGCAGAGCCUCCAUACUUCCUUAAAAAGUGAAAAGCAUUUCGUUACGAAAGAUAAAACCGGAUAAAACAAGCCGGUUUAGCUAUACCGGAAUCUCGAUCUCGUUUCUUUACCGGAAAAAAAAAAAACAGAACCCUAGUCUCGCUCUAUAACAGUAUAAGGUCGCAUCCCAUUUUCGUGCUAGCUUCUCUCUUCGUUUCUUUCUCUAACAUCCGUCUGCUUAUUGGAUCAUCUUCUCCGGCCAAAGGAAACGCCUUUUUUCGCGGCGAGACUGAUUAUAGGAUGAUCGUUCUCUGUUUCGGAAUCGUUGAGUGAUGUUGUUAGAUCUCUCUGAUCGUUUCCCAUCAAAGACGUGGUUCCACAGGCGCAAAAAAUGCCUAAUCUAACCUUCUGAAAGCCUUUCCCUUUUUGAUUACUCGGCGAAUCUAAUCUUUCCCCUUUUAGAAAGUUUUGGUCUUUCCUAACUCGGUUUGUAAAUAGAGAUCGAAAGCUUGUUCCUUUUUGUUCUGGGUCUGUGUUAAAGAAGCUGGCGAAGAUGAAUCUCAGUACGGCCGAGGAAGAAUCGUCGUCGUCGGCGCAAGAGAUUCACAUCCCUGCUGACAUCAACUGGGAGAUGCUCGACAAGUCAAAGUUCUUUAUACUAGGAGCGGCUCUCUUCUCAGGGGUCUCUGGAGCUCUCUACCCAGCCGUGUUGAUGAAGACUCGUCAGCAAGUUUGUCAUCACUCUCAAGGCUCUUGCAUCAGAGGUGCGUUUACUCUCGUCAGACACGAAGGCUUGAGAGGGUUGUAUAGAGGGUUUGGCACUUCUCUGAUGGGAACCAUCCCUGCACGUGCCUUGUACAUGACGGCGUUGGAGGUUACCAAGAGUAGUGUAGGCUCUGCUGCCGUCGGGUUAGGUUUUACUGAGGGUAAGGCUUCCGCUGCUGCUAAUGCCGUUGGUGGGUUAACGGCUGCGAUGGCUGCUCAGCUUGUUUGGACUCCUGUCGAUGUGGUGAGCCAGAGGCUUAUGGUGCAAGGAAGCAGCGGGCUUAGGUGUUGUGAUUAUGUUAACGGGUUCGAUGCGUUUAAGAAGAUCGUAAGAGCUGAUGGAGUUAAGGGGUUAUACAGAGGGUUUGGGAUAUCGAUUCUGACUUAUGCGCCGUCUAACGCGGUUUGGUGGGCGUCUUACUCCGUUGCGCAGAGGAUGGUUUGGGGUGGAGUUGGGUGUUAUGUUUGUAAGAAGGACGGAGAGAGUGGGAACGCGAUGAAACCGGACUCGAAGACGGUGAUGGCUGUUCAGGGAGUUAGUGCUGCGAUUGCUGGGAGUGUUUCUGCUUUGAUUACGAUGCCGCUGGAUACAAUCAAGACGAGGUUGCAGGUUCUUGAUGGGGAAGAUAGUAAUGGGAAGCGUGGUGGACCGAGUAUUGGACAGACGGUGAGGAACUUGGUUAGGGAAGGUGGAUGGACAGCUUGUUACAGAGGGUUGGGACCGAGAUGUGCUUCAAUGUCAAUGUCUGCGACUACUAUGAUUACUACCUACGAGUUCUUGAAACGGCUUUCCGCUAAGAACCAUGACGGGUUUUGCUCUAAAUCAUAGUGUUAACAGCAGCUCAGAGAACCACAUAGAAGAAUCUUUUAUGAGAAAUGUCAUUUAUUUUUCUUACUCGUCUUUGCUGUUCUGUUCUGCUCUUUCCUUUGUUUCCAGUCAUAUUGUAAGGAAUGUGUUCAAAGUUGUUUCUAAAUAAAGAAAUGUUUAUUCCCACAUUUAGCCUUGGACUCCAGGUUUGGAUCGGUUCACCAUAACCGCGCUACUAAACCGGUAUGAUAAAUUAUGACUUGUAAGACUUUUUAUUGGACGAGACUUGAUUUGGCAAUAUGUUAGAAUCAGCAAGUCAUGAAUCACUUUUGGAAAUUGAUUAACAGGUUUGAUUGUGACUUUAUAUAAUUGAAAAUGCUUGUCUUUUGUUUUUUGUAUGAUCAUUGUUAGUGUUUCAGGAACACAAGUUUGUAUCUGUCGCAUAAGUCAACGACUCAUGGAGCAGAAUCUUACGUUUCUUCUUACCGUAUUCGAAAUAAUUUUAUAGGAAAUAAUAAUUGGUUAACAGACGGCUUUGAUAUUUUAUUCAUGAAAGUGUCCAAGAAAUGGUAAUAUUAUCAAGUAUCUUAGGUGUGUGAUGAGAUCUUCUCAAACUGAUAAAUGAGACUCAAAAGUAGAAUCUUUCAACCUCUUUUUUUUUAAUCAAGUUUACAGAAUAAAAAAGUAGAUUCUUCAUUAAAUGUUUAUCAAAAACAUUGUCAACUAGAUUGCAAAAUAUUCAGAAAUGUAUCUUACACGUCCACGGAGUGGAAUGCAGAAUCUGUUUUUUUUUUUCUUUUUUUAUUAAUCAUGUUCAUACAAAAUCAAAGCAUAGUUUACACGAGAUAGUAAGGGAAGAUUAAAAGUGUGUUCCAAACUGAAGAUUGUGGUGGUUCUUGUUCUUGUUGUGAUAUUUUAACACAUACAUAAAGUGAAAUUGAAACAUAAAAAAGUAACAACAAGCAAGAGAACUAGUAGUAGUAGCCAAGGAUGACUUCCCCUUUAGGUGGGAAACAUUGAAACAGCACCAAAAGAUCCAAUGUCUCAGAUAUGGACAGAGAAAUGGUGCAACUCCCCACCUCCAUGCAUGUCAUUGGACUGACCAUGAACAAGCAUAGCUCGGUUAGUCUGAGUUGGGAUUGGGAAACCUGAAAACUGGAAUUCAGUGUGUCCGAAGAUAUCAGCACCGUCGGAAACACAUGUAACGUCAGAGCCAGAAGUGGUUGAGCCGCCACGGUCUUUGUUGUGCUGCAGCAUAUGAGCUUUGAAUCUAGACAUGUUUGCCUGUUGGACCGACUUGUCACGUUCUUGCUCUUUAGCAGCAACCUGUUCGGAUUCUUGAAGAAGUUUUUUGGUGUUGAGGAAUCUUCCACCGGAUCCUCUUGGCCUUUUAAGAGCAUGGACAUGUCGAGAUUCAUGAAGAUACGGCUGUUGCAGUAAAGAAAAAGACAGAGAUGAGCAUAGCUUUCUAAAUGAGAAGCUGUUGUUGGUUCCUUAUUAUACCUUUCGGGCUUUGAUUAGUUUGUUCUGAGCCUCAAGCUUGGCACGUUGCUGCCUCCUCCUCAUGAUAGCAUGGUAUUGCUUCGCAUUGACAAAGACUGGCUCAGCUUCAGUGAUCUCCACUGGUAGUGCAACUCUACCAGGAACCAUACCCACCAUUUGGGGAUUGCAUGUCUGCAAAAGAGAUAAAGAGACUUGUGAUCACUGCAAAGCAUGGCAGAAGAAGAAAGUAUACUAAAGAAAGGUCUUACUAACCGGUGCAUGUGGAAGAUAAGGUGUAGCUAACAAACCACCAUAUUGUGGAUCAGCAUAGUGAAAUGAGAAAUUAGCCUGCACCAUGUAUGAUAUAAGGUAUCAGUCCACCAUCAGAUGAUUGCUAUUAUCACAAAUUAAAGACUCACAAGUACCUGCGUAGGAGCAAAGUGCAUGUUAGGGAAUCCUGUCAUUGCGCCUGACUUAGUAUGAGUCGCAGAUACCUUCCGCUGAGUUUCUUCAGGUCCUAGACAAGAAAAUGAGAGAGAUGAUAAUAUGAUUAAUUCUCUUGUAAAUAACAUGAGUAUUGAAGAUAUACCAAACAGUCUAAUAUCUGAUAAGCAAUGAAGAUCUUACCAAAACAUCAAGCAAGAGUCAAUAUGUACAACCACAUCUUCGUUGAGAACUGACCUGAUUUGGUUGAAAAAGAGAUUUGUCUGGAGGGAUGAUCAUCUCCACUACUAGCAACUUCAGUGUAAGACUGACAAGUGGACUGAGUUGAAGGUGAAUCCUGGUCCUGGAAACUGAUUUGCUUUGUGGUAUGCAUAUGUUCAGUUCUUGCAUCCACCACCUUCAAGCUUAGGGGGUCAUUUGGAAUCAUACCACCCCAUGAGAUGCUAGUGUUCAGGUAUGGCAAAGUGGAACCUUUCUUACUCAUCUGAUGCCUAACGUCAAUCAAGCUAUUCACACAAGAAUGAUGAAGAAGACCUACAUAAAUAAAAUAAAAAAAGAUUAGACUAUUUGGACAAAGAUGAUAUUAAACAUAAAAGAAAAUCCUUUAAAACCUAGAAAUAAAUAUAAAAGAGAGACUUAAAAGUUUCUAAAUUGAUAUAAACGAACUCUGAUUCGACAGUACUAUCUUGAGUAAAACCAAAUCGAGACGAUUGGACGAAAUUAGAAAUUUUCCGACCAAGAAACAAAACACAAGUUGUGACAGUCAUCACUUUUGGCAAAAAAAAAAAGGCGUUGACUUGAGAUGGAAGGAUUACCAAAUCAGUAAAACAACAUCAAUCUCACGCCACAAGACAGAUACACCAAAAAAGGGGAAAACUUUGACAGAGAGAUUAAACACCAAAGCCUUUCAAACAAGAGAUUACAGAUACAGAGGGGAGAUUAAUAGAUAGAUAGAUAAAGAGAAAACCUUUUUGAGAAUUAGAUGAAACGAAGAUGAAGAAAGGACACAGACUAGUUUUGCAUGUCUCCUUGUCUCUCUCUUUCUAUGAAACUCAGUGAAUCAGAGUGUGUCCGUAUUAUCUUCUUGUGCUUUCUUCGUCUCCGUCGAUUUGUUUCUCUCUCUCUCUUACCUUUCCUGGGAAACCACCAUGUCCAUGAGCAGCACUUUCACCUUCUUCUUCUGGUUCAUUAUUAUUGUCUUUAAGUGCUUUAAUUAUUCAUUUUAAUAAGAGCUUAAUUCGCUUUAACCAACACACACAGAAUCAAAAAAAUACUUUUUUCUUUUUAAAAAAUGAACAUUUUUAAUUAUUUGGAAUCGUCCCAACUAUUUCAGAUUCCUAAAUUCCUAAAAAUGAAAAUUUAAUAUUCGGAAAAUUCUAAAACUAUACUAUAUUUAAAAACAAAUGAUAAUGCAACUAAAAUGAUUCUUUAACUCUAACAAAUUAGUUUAGCAAUUUAACUUUUUCUGUUUAAUCACUUUAGCAAUAAUGUAUUAGUAACUUUUCCCCCAUUUUAUAUUUCGAAUACAAUCGUUUUUUUUUCUUGUUGUUGCUGGAUGAUGUAUUCCUAAUUAAUCUAAUCUAGUAGUGAAGCCAAAAAGUAUAAGCUAUCUUGGCCACGUUAAGCUAAGUUAGUAUAUUAAUUAAUUUGAUAUUUAGCUUUUUGUCCAAAGUGUGUUGUCGUUUCCAGACAAUGAAGCUUUUAAAUUUGUGUGAACCGUCCUUAGGUCUUUACUUAGUCUUUAGCCGCCUCUUAACUUUCAUCUUGGGGAUAAUGUUUCAGUUUGUAUCAAGUUGAUAGACUUAUUAUUAUAACCAACUUCCUUGAGUAUAGUAAUUAAGGAAAGUGUAAGCAUGCAAAAUGAGAUAGGAAUAAGGAUUGUAUUAUACUAAAACUUGGGUUGAGUUCUUAAUCAAGCACCUAACCUUCUUCUUUUUGGGUAAUGAAAUAAAGCUUAAGUGCAAGUCAAGCAUAGUGUUAUGCCUUCUUUGUCCUUUGAACAACCAAAACAUAAUAAUUGCUACUUCGUCGUUUACUUAAUUUGUUUUUGUUGUUAACAAUUUAUUAAACUUUUAAUUCUAUGUCUAUAGGCUUUGAGUCCUUAACUGAUUCAUGAGAACUUGGACACGUGGGUAUUGGAGCACUCAUCCCCCAGGGACCAAAAUCAAAAGUGAUCUACCUUUCUUUGGACCAAAUUCAUAAGAUACAAAGAGAAAGCUGGUAGUAUUAUAGAAGUCAUAAAAAAGAAAAGCUGAACCAGAGCAACUAAGAAAUAUCAACCACAAAGUGGUAGUCUAGUGGUAGAUAGAUCUUAGAAUUGCCAAGUAACCUAAAUUCGAAUGCAUUCCAAUACAUAUUACCUUAUGACUACUUGGAUAUAGACUUAUUCUACAAUCUAUUUAAAUACCCAGAAGUAAGAGUCCAUAUGUAUACUGCACCACCUUUUUAUGGAUCUGAGAUUACCAAAGGUUUAAAAAGAAACUAGUAAUAUCAAAUCCUUAAUUUUAUAUUGUCUCACUAAGUGAUGAGUAGGUGAAGCACUCUACAAUAUUGCUUUCGCUUCCAAAGGCGUAUGUAUGUUUUAGUCGUUAAGAACAUAACUCUUGUCGCGUUGGUUAAAAUUUGCGUGUCUCCAUCUUUUUAAGAGCACUGUCUGGUGAUUUUACCAAAGCCAAGAAAGCAAGAUAAUUGAUGCUCUAUGUUGAUAUAUUAUAGUCAAACGAGUAACUCGCUGGGUGUAGAUAGAAGCGGGGUCCAGCCUUUGAGAUAUGUGAAGCUAUUCAACUCUUCUCUCAAUCUGCAUUUAACCAGCAACACACACCACAGGCUAUCUUUGGAUCACUCUUCCUCCGUGCUGCCAGAGUCUGUGGUUUUCUUUUUAAGUAUGAACCAUAGAAGAAAGAGAACAUGUAAUCCUUGAAAGAUAGACUUCGUUUAAUUUGUAGAACAAAUUGUAAUUGCGCAUUAACUGAUCGAAACUCUAAAAAAGGAAGAUGAUGAACAUAUAGUAUCUGAAUGAGAAGAAUAUGAAUAUGUAGUAUGUGUGUGAUCUUGCUAAACCCUCAAAAUGUAUAGAAUUUUCAGAAGAAUCAAUGUGAACUAAGCCGACUAAUAAUAAAUAAUAUUUAACUAUAUCAAAAUAUUAACAGUAAUUUAUAUAAAUUACUGUUUUUGAAAUAAUUAUCAAUAAAAAUUACGGAUCUGGAUAUCCAGACUAAAAAAGCAAGAUAUCCGGAUCUGGUUUCGGUUUUGACGAAUUCAACAUUUUAUUAUCCGGAUUCGGAUCCGGCAUUCUAAAUAUCCGGAUUUUCGGAGCGGAUCCGGAUUGUAUCUCGGUUCGGAUAAUAAUUCGAAGCCUAUAUAGAACACUGGCUAUACUUAUUUGAAAGAUGCGCUGCGUCGCAGAGAAACAGAAACAUGGUAAAACGCUUGCUGAAUAUAAGUACAACUGCUUAGUGAAACUUCCGUAACUUUGAGAUAUAAAAGUAUUUGUGAUAAAUUGAUCAUGUUGGAAGCUAGGAAAAAGGUUGUAACAUUUGACUUUUGUUUUAUUAUUGUGGUUUGUGGGUGUUGUCAUUGGGAGGUAAUGCUUGCAGGAUAUUGAAAUAAAUUCAAUGCAAUGACAUGGUUCAAAAAUCUCACACGUCUUCAUAUUUCCGAUGACAACAUCUUUCACAUUAGAAAUCUCAGUACCCGACUCUAAGAGAUAACGGGAGCCAAAAUGCAAAGAUAGUUCCUGGAUCAUGUUUCAGUUGAACCAAUCGUAUCAGCCAGGAUCUUUGUGGGCUGUUUUUCUCAAUCAAAAGGCAUACAAACAAAAACAAUGUUGUAUGAAUGAAAACUCAGACCGACCCUUUUUCAAUUACAAAGGUAAAACGUUCCCAAACAGCUACUGACAAAUCAACCAAGCCAACAUAAAAUAACCCACGAGACUUGUACGAGGAACAAAUAAAUAAUAUAGAAACAAUGGUUGAAUAACAACAAGACCACAAAGAACAAACAAAUGCAGAAUGGAGUUAGCAGAUUUGCCCAAACCAUGUAACAUAAUUUACUGAGUAUGACCUUUUUCAUUGAUCAGCGUUAAGGGCUUUGGAGAUCCAUUCUGACACUGCGGCUUCAGUUUCUGAAUCCAUUUUUGGACGUAGAGACAAUGGAGUCACAGAGACCUGUCAUUACAAAAAGGGCAAGUAUUUGGAUUAGAAUCAAGAACUUCACCAGAAAAAUUCUAUAUCAUGAUGAUCCGAAGGGUUGAUUCAGAAAAGAGCAUAUAUAUGAUCAUGCCAACUUACAAAACCAUCUUCUAGAGCCUUGAUAUCCAAAUCUUCAUCCGUAUGUUCUUCAUUUUUAGCCACAAACUGCACAUAAACAUAGUCAGGACUCAGGAUCAAAGACUAAAUAUCCAAAAGGGUUUAUGAAGAGAACGGAGUUCAAAAUUUACAAUACCUCUAGGCGGAAGUAUUUCUUAACACGGCUCUCAGUUUUAGGAGCAACACCAACCGAUUCAAUCUCCACAAUACUCUUCUUCUGCGUUGUAAAACGACGUGCCGCUCCCUGAUAUUGCCAGAUAUCUUAGUUCAGUAUCUAGUUAACUAAUCUUGGACCUGAACCAAAAACUAACAUAGAAAUAACAGGGCUGCGGAUUAAAAUAUUUGAAUAGUAAAGAGUUAACUCACAGCAGCUGAAGCAUCUCUGCCAAGCUGGGCAAGCUGAGCUCCUAGGCUUUGUUGGUUGGACAUGAAGUUCCCAGCACCAGGGUGACGGUUAGCUGAAACAGCUUGCCAACUAUGACUCUGCCUCCACAUGCUUUGUUUUGUCACCUUGAAACCCUAUUCAUAUGUAAACGAAACAUCAACCUCCCUAAACCAUUGGCUAGUGAGACUCUAAUUAUCACCAAAAAAAAAAGAACAUGCUUGCAUCAGUAACCUUGUUUGAUGAGGGUGAUGUUGGAAUUUCUAUGUUGAGAGAGCAGUCUUUAGGGAAAACUCCUUUCUCAAUGUCUCUGAUAGUUGCGUUAAUCAGAGGUAAACAGACACCAACAGCCUCCUUAAAUUCACUUUCUUUGCUUUCACCUUUCUUCCUAUAAACAAUCAGAAAAAGUAAAUGGCCAACACGUCCACAUAUAUAGCAGUAUGCAUUCCCAAUUUCCCAUGAUUAAAACUCACCAGUUCAGUGAUAUUGACAAAGAGGGUACUCCAGAAACCAAAGCCUCCUUGGCUCCAGCUACUGCACCGGAGUAGAACCUGAAGGAGGAUUCUCCCAUCAGGAAAACACAUAGCUCCAUGGACAGACAAGGAAUAUAUAAAAAGACAAAAACACCUACAUUUGAUUACCACAGCUUGAUCCCUGAUUGAUUCCACUAAUCACCUGAAGAAAAUAAGCAGAAAUUACAAGAUAGUACCAUAACAUCUCAAUGAUGAUUAAAAAAAAUACUAACCACUAUUGGUUUAGACCAAGCGAAAAGCGCUCCUGAUAAUCCUAACGAGAUGCAGUCCACAGGAGUCCCUGAGACAACCACAAUCAAUGAAUCUUUUCUUCCAACAAAAAGACUCAAACUUUCAGAUUAUAAAAACCUUCCUUUGUCAAAGUUUAUAGAUGUAUUCAAUAUCCACAAACCUGAAACUUCAAAGGCGGUGGCACCUUUGAUAAUAACCGAACUCGCAGCGAUGGUUUCUCCAGGAGUCAUAGAAUGAGAGGAAACCGAUUUAUCCCUGCGCACAUUCCAAUUCACAAGCCUUACCAAAAGUUCCAAACUUUAAACAAGAAGACGAACAAAUCAACAAUCGAAAGCGUACGUUUGAGGAGCACAGACGUGGACAUUGUAGAGCCCUUCGCUAACCAAAGCCUCAACGAGAGAGAGGAGUCCAGGCGAAUCAAUCCCAUCUCCAUUCGUGACUAAAACGAUGGGUCUUGAGUCCUCAUCGAUCUCCUCCUUGGCCGCAACAGAAGUGGAGGGAGCCUCCUCCGACGGAGAUGCAUCGCUGCCUCCUUUUCUCUUGGAAAGCACGUCUUGGAGAUUGGAGACAAGCGCGGCAGACAAGCCGUUGUUCUUCGAGGUCAUCGUAUUAGAAAAGAGAGAUGAGGUGGGGUCUGUUGUUGAAUGAAUCAAAAAACUCUAGUGAGGAGGAAGGGGAAGACGAAGAAGAAGGGGAUUGGAGAGAGAGAGCGGGUCUAACGGAGGAAAGAGAGAUAGAAAGCUUGAGGGAAGAGAUUACUUUGUGAACUGUACUUUGUCCUAAGUAAAAUUUAAUUUAUAAUUAUGCAUUAAGACAUAAAGAGAUUAAUGUUUUUUUCCUUCUUGUAAUUACGGUCAAAAAGGAUGAAACAUGUUAUAAAAAAUGGUCCGCAUCUCAUAGUUAUUGCAUAUAUUAAAAGUUAUUGGAAAAAAAAUAUAGUUUGAACCGACAGCAUUAUAGUAACAUGUUGGUUGAAGAUUGAAACUGUUAAUUGUGUUUCUAGAUCAUAUGCUUUAUGCUACUGAAAUGUUUAUUAUUAAUAUAUCAAAAAUAGCUUUGGUUGAUUCAGUUAAUUUUUAGUCCCGUUAUGUUAUCAAAUGCUUUAUUAUUGAGUUGGGUUAUAGUUUUCAUUAAAUUAGAAGUUUAUAGCGGAUAGCAUUUCUAAAUUUGUGGAUUUGGUAGCUUUUAUUCCAGCUAAUAAUUGAUUUUUGCUAGGUACGCUUGCAUACUAUACUCUAUUAAUGACAUAAAUUAUUUUAGAACUGAUUAUGAGUGAGAAAUUGAUGUAGGGUCUAAAGGUCAACAAACUAAUUAGAAGAUUAAGAUGAUUGUGAUCUCUCUAAUCAUAAAAUGUCAAACGUUAGCGAGCUCCUUUGAUUUUUUUGAUUAGUUGGAAACUUGGAAUGGGGUGAUCGUCACGUCGUGAUCAUUGUGUGAGUAACUAAUAUCGAUUUUAUAUUAAUUGAUUCAAAUGAAAACAUGAACUGUUGUAAAGUAUACCUUCUGGUCCUUAUCCACUGUCCGCUUAAACAAAUUCAAAAACUUUAUACAUUUCUUCAAGUGAUGGGCUCUCUUUUGCCUUUAAUUAGACUUUGGAUCUUUAACAGUUGGCUACGAAUAUUUUUAGAACUUUACAGACAUAAAAUGAGUAUUCUGUAAUUGCUCUAUUGUAAAACUUCGAAAUUAAGAAUAGCCCAUUUGAAUAUUUUCCAAGCUAAAAAGGGUAUUAGGCCUAAUUAACUGAUUAGUGGGCCGAAUAAAUCAUCUAAGGCUACAUACUAUUUUAACUUUUCCUAAAUUUAUACUAACUACUAAAUUCUAUAAAUAAAUGUCAUCAGACUAUAAUAUAUAUUAUUAUUUGCGAAUUGAUUUUGAGUAUACAUAGAUUUUGAAAUUCAAUUUAGUAUUCAAACUUUCACGUUAAAGUUAGAGUGGAUAAUAUCGUUUAUAUAUUUAAUGAAUAAAAUAUAUAAAUUAGUUAAAAAUAAAAAUGAAUUUAAUUUUGUUUGUUAAAAUAAGAGAUUAAAAUAAUAAUAAAAAUUAUCUAAAAUCGAAAUAUUAUAUUUUAAACAAAGUUUAUUUUUUAACUAAAAAACAGUUCAAUUUUUUUUGUCUUUUUAUUUAUUUAAUAAUAAAAUUUAGAAGUAAUUCCAAAAAAAUAAUAGAAAUUAGAAAUGAUGUUAAAUAUUCUAAGGCAAAACAAAAUAUAUGAAUUUGAAGAACCAACCAGACUCGAAAAAGUAAUAGUGAACCAAAACUGAAACUAAUUAAAUACAUGAAUGAUUUAAAACUUUGAUAUCUGAAGAAUCUGAAUCAAAUCCGACCAAACCGAAAUAUUUUGAGUAUCUGAAGAUAUAUAAAUCACAAUUAUAUACUUAAAUAUAUUAGUUAUUUUAAAUUGAAUAUCUAGAAAAUCUUCAAAAUAAUUUAAUAUCUAAAAAUUACCAAAAAUAGUCACAAGUAAAUAUCUAAAAAUAGCUAAAAGCUUCAAAACACCAGAAAUAUUAAUAAUACCUAUUUGUUAUCCACUCAAAUAUCCAAAUCGAACCAAUUUUGAUGUUAAUUUUAGUAUUUAGUCUUAUGUAAUUCUAAUAUAUAUGUUUUUGAGGAUUUUAAAUAUAUUUGUAUAUUUCUCUUUUUUACAUAAUUUAAUGGGUAUCUAAACCUAAAUUGAACCCUUAAUGAUCUGAAUCAAAUAUAAACCAAAAUUUAUAAAUAUAUGAAUAGGAUUAAAAUCUUUAGCUUCUAAAAUCCAAAACCUGGAUAGACCGUACCAAACCCGAAUAGAUACAUGAACAUUCACCCCUAAAUCUUUCUUACAACAAAGCACCAAAACCAUAAUUGGUUUACUACAUUGUCUUAGAUAGUGUUUAUAUAUAAAUAAUUAUUAGUUUAUAUAACAUAUAUAUAAUAUUGCAAAAUGAUCAUCUUACUAUUUUUUCAAAUACAUUAUCUUAUAUAAAUUAUAUAUCAUAAAUUUAUUAUGCUUGAUAAUUUCUUAAAUAUCUGGGUAUAGAGUUUUAUUUUACUUGGAGGAUUUUUAUUUUUAUAAACUUCGAACAAUUUUUCCAUCGUUUUGUCAUCUAUGGAAUAUUAUUAAAAUUAAAUGAUAUCAUCGAAAAGCUAAAGGAAUUAUCAAAUUUUCUAUCAAUAAAAUUGAAAAUAGAACGAACGAACAGAAACAAGCUAGUCAUAUAUAUAAAACUAAAUCAGAAAAUCAAAUAGGUUACAACUUUAUUGACUUUUUAAAUUGAGGUUUUGAAUGGUAACGCUUCUACAAACACUACACCCUAAUUAAUCAUAACAAAAAUCUUUAUAUAUAUAUAUAUAUAUACAUUUUUGUUACUAUUAGAACCACACUACAGUUUAUCCGUAUAUUACUAUUGGGAACCCAAAGAAUUCGGAUUAAUAUUAAUAUUUAGCCCUUGCCUCGUUCGUCUUAAACAAAAACAGGAAUGGUUUUGACUUUACUUCAUAAUUGUAAACAAAUAAUACUAUGACAUACAAGAAAAUUAAAAAUCUAUUUGACUUUUUUUAUAAUCCGGCAAACCAAGGUCCACCCGACUAGUUACUUAGGAAUCAUUUUAUCAUUGUUAAAAAACCUGACUGUUCUCAAAAAAUAAUUAUAUAUCUAUGUCGACUGAUAGCACAAACAGAUAAAUCUGAAUUUGACAUGAUUUGAUUCUAGAAUGCUUAACACAUUUCCAAAAAAAAAAAAAACACUGUAGCAGUCUGCUACGGAUGUGUGACUCGGUAAAGUAUAGUAGUAUACGUUACUUACGUUACGGCUUACGAACUCAGUGACUGCACGACAAUAUCGUAUAAAAUACGUUAGAAAUUUUCAACGACAAUUAAAUAUAUAAUUUAGCAGACAAAUUAUAUUGAUUUUUAAGGUACGAUAAAAGUAUCCAAAUCUCCGGUAUAUGUGACGUUGCAUGCAUUAGACAGAAAUUAAACUAUUACUUUGAGAAAAAAAACAAAUGUAGAACGAUUCUAGGCGAUUUCGAAUAACUCGGUUUUUAUUUUUUAAACGUUCAUUUCACGGUGUCUAGGACGACGUUCGGCACGUAAAGAACCAUGUUUUCCAUAUGAUCUCAGGCACAUAUCAUGGACAAUUGGACACGUAUUUUAUUUUUAUUUUUGAGUUGAAUAUACUUCUUAAAACAAAUAUAUUAACGAUAGCUCGAAAUUUAUAAUAUAUGUUUAAUGGUUUUUAAAUUUCCAAGAAAUGUUAUCUAAGAAACUAGCCUAAAACACAAAGUGGGCGGCUGGACUAAGUUUUAUGAUAAAAUAAAGAACGUAGAUUUAAAAAGUAUAGUUUCAGCAUGAAAUUUAUCGAUAUCUUAUGAGUCGUCAAAUUAUUUUAACAAACCUACUUAUCAUAACAGAAAAAAGGAUCACUGAUCUUUACAUUUGACUGCAAAAUUAAUAAUUUGUACGUUCAAACAGAACAAGAUAAAAAAUUAUACCUAAGACACGUUAUAGCUAAUUUAACUAUUUGGCCUUUCGUUGACAAAAAAAAAAAACUAUUUGGCCUUUCAUUCCAUUUCCACUAGUUAAUUGAACUUUUCACAUGAACUGGAGACCUAAUGAAUAAAAUGAGCAUAUUCUUUUUAGGUUUAUCCUAAUUGUAAUUUUAUACCGUUACGACAAUUCACAAUAAUGUUAUUCAAAAAUAUAAUGUGGGUUUUUGCUUAUUAUAAAUAAAAGUAAUUUGUUUAUGUCCAAAAAAUAAAUAAUUUGUUACUCAUUUUUGGUACACUUGUCAAAUGCAAUCAAACUGAAAAAAAAUCCCAAAAGAGAAAAUAAAUAAAUCAUGAACACUAACUACACACGUGGUUAUAAAAAGCUUUGCUCGAUAUAUAUCAAUUACCAAAAUAAACACAUUAAAAGCUUGAAGCAGUAGUAUACACCACAAAAAAAAUGAACUCAACUUCUUAGAUAAGGAGGGCGGGUGGGCCAAAUAUAUGACUAAUUUUUUUUAAAACAGAUAGAAAAUCACGAGACGUACGUAUAAUAUUUUAAAAGUACAAUAUAUUAAUUUCCUUUAAGUAAAAUUAUUUUACAAAAAAAUGAUCAUGAGAUCUCUACAUUUUACUUCAAUAUUAAACAAAGCAAUAUCAAAGAUAUAUAGAGAUUUAUUUACUCUAAUCAUGGAUAUUUCAGUUCAUUUCAUAGCGUUUUCACAUAAAAAUGGGGUAUAUUUAAAGAACAAAAUGGAGAUAUUCUUAUCAUUCUAACCUGAUUAGAAAAUAUAUAUAUACAAUGGUUUAUACUUCAUGCAAUGUUUCUUGGAAAUUUAAUGGUAAUUUCGUUACCGUUAAGCACUAACUAAAUGUGUCUCUUCCUCUAUAAAAACUAAAUAGUUUCAUAACUCCUUUCGGCUACACUGCAAACUCAAAAAAGUCCAUAUAUAAAAAAAAAAAAAAAAAAAAAAAAAAAAAAAAAAAAAAAAAAAAAAAAAAAAAAAAAAAAAAAAAAAAAAAAAAAAAAAAAAAACCAA